RNAcentral lists this long non-coding RNA (71994 nucleotides) under Phoenix dactylifera (date palm). Its description in RNAcentral is "long non-coding RNA (PDAC_LNC002837)". Lineage: Eukaryota; Viridiplantae; Streptophyta; Magnoliopsida; Arecales; Arecaceae. The record is from RNAcentral.
UUUGAUCCAGUUCAAUGGCUCAAAACACUGGAUUGGAGGAUGCUUGAUGGUUAUGAUUAUAAAUAUUAUGUUAUAAUAUUAGGUAUAAUUGUAUAAGAAUAUAGUUCUUUGUAUGCAAUAUGAGAUACCUUUGAGUUACUUGAGUCAAGUUAGAAUUUGAAUGGGCAUUUGAGUGGAUUUGAUGAGUGAGUUAGAAGCUCAUACCAAGUCUUCUGUUUCUUGAAUCAAACAUGUAUACUUGAAAUUAAUGCAAUCAUUAUAACUAUGAUACAACAUCAUCGUGGCUAGUUCCAAGUUGGAUAAAAAGGUGGAGGGUUGACAACUGGUAGUAGAAAUAUGCCAAUAAUUAUGAAAUGGAUCCUAAUUUGAGAUGCAUGAAUGUUAGGACGUCCUCUCUUUUUUGCAAUGCGCCACAACUUGACCCAAUUGCAGUGAGAAAUGGAGCAAGUUGCGUAAGAUUGUUGUCCAUCAGUGACUCGCUAUUGUGUGACCCUGAAGGAUGGUUAGGUCUUUGUCCAUAAAUGGCCCACUAGAAUGUGAUUCAAUUAGAGUGACAAACGAGCAAUGGUCUCAAAUUCUAGUGGGAUGUCUCGUGGGAUACCAGGAUGAGCUAUUGAAUGUCAGGACAGAAUUAUGCCGCCAUCAUCUCAGCAUCUCGAUUGACACAUCUUGGGACAUCCCUUGUCCCAAGUUUCGGGAUAGGACGGGAUGACGACACACCCUAUUCCAUAAGAAAAUCGGGACACCCCUAUCCUACAGGCUUUAAAACCUUGCAUGCUAUAAUGUAUUUUGGUUGUGGCAAGAUGGAGUUAUUUAGGAUUAGUAUUCUAAUCAUGGUAUGCUAUACUGUUCGGUACCAGUGUGUACUAGACAUACCAUAUGGUACCAUUACCAAAUCUGUACGUGGUACUAGGGGUUUAUCGAGUGUCGGUAUACCAAAUCAACCUCUAGGCAUAUCGAUACUUUACUAUGAUUGUACCGCUAUGGGGUUUGGUACCGAGACGACAAACCUUGAUUCGAAUAUUUAGGGUUAGUAUUCUAAUCAUGGUACACCGUAUCGUUUGAUACUAGUGCGUAUUAGGCAUACCAUACCGUACCAUUACCGAACUGGUAUGUGAUAUCAAGGGCAUGCUAAGUGUCGGUAUGCCAAAUUGACCCCAGGCAUACCAAUACUUUUCCACGAUGGUACCAAUAUGGGUUCCAGUCCUAAGAUGACAAACCUUGAUUCUUAUAGUAAUCCAGUACAAUGACGGGUAAUUGGAGUUGUAGGGAUAUGAGAAAUUUUAUCAUGUAAGGUAACCAUAUAGAAGAUGAGAACUAGCUUUCUACUUAGACUGUUGGAACUUUGAUCAUGAAGAUCAGAGAAUUGGUGGAUACAAUGACGCGUAGGAAAAUCAAUAUCACUUGCUUACAAGAAACUUCAUGAAAAGAUUGUAAAUCCAAGGAUAUUGGGGAUGGUUAUAAACUAUUAUACGUAGGUAAGGAUAAUAAUAAAAUUGGUGUAGGAAUAGUAGUGGUUAAGGAAAUGAAAGAUAAAAAUUUAGAUAUAAAAAGAAUGAGUGAUAUACUAAUAGCUAUUAAAUUAGUUUUAGAUGAGAAGAUUAUUAAUGUAGGUAGUAUUUAUGCACUACAAGUAGGCUUAGAGGAGGAUUAAGCAACAACUUUGAGAAGAAAUGGAUGGAUUGAUUUAAGGUAUUCUUGAAAGAGAAAGGAUACUUGUAGGCGGUGAAUUACAUAGGCAUAGCGAAGAACAAUAUGGGAUAUGAGAGUGCAUAGAGGAUUUGGUUUUGGGGAUAGAAAUUUAUUAGGAGAUUCAAUUCUUGAGUUUUCAUUAGCUUAUAAUUUAGUACUUGCAAAAACAUAUUAAGAAGAGAUGAGAACUCAUAGAUAGAUAACUUUUUCAUCAAGAGACGAGAAAGAUCGAUAUGUAAGGAUCGUAAGGUGAUAUCAGGAGAGAGUUAACUACAAAAUUUAGGUUAUUAGUCUUAUAUUUAUAUAUUAAAUACAAUAAGUAAAGAAAAUAAAGUAAUAAAUAUCCAAAGAUGGUGGAAUUUGAAAGGAGAAAUGUUGUCUUUUAGGAAUAAAUUAUUAAAGGAGAGAAAUUGAAACGUAAGGGCUAUUAGCCCAAAUAAAAUGCGGGAUCAAAUGGUCAACUAUAAUAAGGGGAUAGCUAAAGAUAUUCUAGGAGAGUCAAAAGGGAAAAGAUAUAAAAUAAAGAAACCUAGUUUAGGAAUAAUGAAGUACAGGAGGUAAAAUUAGAAUAAAAUGAGUUUGUUUUAAAAUAACAAAGAAAAUAAUGGCAAGGAUUUUAUAAGAUACAGGAGGCUAAAAAACAUGCAAAAAUUCUAGUAAGGCUAAAUGUGUGGCAUAUGAUAAUUUUAUGAUAGAUUGGGUCCGAAAGAGGGUGAGAAUGAAAUUUAUGAAACAUCUAAAAUUAAAGAAGGAGAUGUUCUUUUGAAAAAUUGUAAAUGAGGAUUCUAUUAAAGAAUUUUUUAUUGAAGAACCAAAAUAGGGUGUCAUGGUUUUAUUUGGAUGAUUCAUAAAAGUUAAGUGGAGAUAGCUUUGAAAAAAUUGCAAAAAAUGGUAAGGAAUUAGAACCAAAUGAAAUACCUGUUGAGGUUUGAAAAGUUAUGGGGGAUACUGGGUUAAAUUGGGUAACUUAUUUAAUGAAAUCUUGAAAAUGGAAAACAUGCCAGAUGAGUGGAGAAGUAUUGCAAUUCCUAACUAUAACAAUAAAGGUGAUGUACAAAAUUGUUCUAAUUAUCUGGAAAUUAAGUUUAUCAGUCACUCUAUGAAAUUAUGGAAAAGAUUGAGAGAAAUAACAACUAUUUUAGAUAACUAAUUAGGAGUUAUACAUGAAUGAUCAACAAUGGAAGCUAUCUUUUUUACUUAGACAAUUGAUAGAAAAUAUAGAGAAAAAUGAAAAAGUCUAUGUAUUGUUCUCAUUGAUUUAGAAAAGUUUAUGAUAGGAUACCAAGAAAAGUAAUUUGGUGGGCUUUAAGGAAUGGUGUAUAUAAAUGAUAUGUUGAAAUAAUUGAGGACAUGUAUGUUGGGGCAUUAACAAGUGCUAGAAGUUGCUACGCUAUGACAAGUUUAUUUCCAGUUACCAUGGGCUUGUAUCGAGGAUAAGCACCAAGCCCAUAUCUUUUUGUACUAAUUAUGGAUAAAAUUACUGCUAACAUUUAAGAUGAUAUACCACAGUGUAUGUUAUUUGCAGACGAUUAGUGUUGAUUGAUGAAAAGAGAACUAUAUUAAACAUUGCAUUGGACUUAUAGAGGAAAACUUUAGAAGGUUUAAAGAUUAGUAGAACAAAGAUGGAGUAUAUGAAAUGUAAAUUUAGUAAGAAUGGAAAUAAAGAUGUGAUACCAGUUAAGAUUGAUGACCAAGACAUACCUCAAAGUGGCCGGCUUCAUUAUUUAGGAUCUAUUGUACAAAUAAUGGGGAGAUAGAUGAAGACAUAUGUAAUAGACCUAGAUCUAGUUGGAUGAAGUGGAGAGGUGCAUUUGAAAUAUUAUAAGAUAGUCGCAUACCUUGGAGAUUGUAAGGAAUAUUUUACAGUACAACAGUUAGGCCCCCCAUGUUGCAUGGCUCAGAGUGCUGAGCAAUAAAGAAAGUACAUAAAAAGUAGAAAAGAUAAAAUAAAAGUAAAUAUAUUAGAGGUGCUAUAGGAGUUGCACAGAUUAUGAACCAAGUAACGGAAAAUUGAUUAGAUGGUAUGAUAUUUUAUCGUGAAAAUUUGAGGCUCUAGUAAGGAGAGGUACUUUGGUUUAUGUUGAAGAUGGUAAGAAAAGAAGGGAAAGACCUAAGGUGAUAUGGAUGGAGGUUGCGAGGAAGAAUAUGGAGAAACUUGAAAUUUUAUGUUAGAGGUGGCUCUAAAUAGGACUAUUUGGCAAAUAAGGAUCUAGAAAGUCGACCCCAAAUAGUUGAAAAAAGGCUAGAUGUUUAUGGUUAUGGUGUAUGUAAACUAUGAUACAAUGCGUAGAGAAUCGCCAAUCUCAAAUUAAUAAUAGUUUCUUUAUAACUUUAAGUGUAUCAAUGUGUUUGGUUUGUAGUUACUAGGAAACAUUCUGCUUAAUAUGGAUUAUCUGUCAUAUUGAUGAAUUUAAUUUUGCUGGAUUUUGCAGGUAUAACCAGCUAACAUCAUCUUUGGUCAAGAAAGGCAUCUGGUCUGAUGUAGAUGAUUACCGCUUGUUGGAUGCGUAAGGCUCUCAAUUUUAAGUAAUCAGGGACAAAGAAUGCUGAACAGGUCCGUACCGGCCAGUUCAGCCCGUACCGAACCGGUCUUUGAUUGGUUCAGUUCGGCGUUAAAAAACGGAACUGGCCUGUACUGGCCGGUGCCGGCUAAACCAAAAUUUUUUUGGCUUUUGGAUGCACGAACCAGACCGAACUAGUGGUACCGGUUCAGUACCGGUUCGAACCGGUUCGGUGGCCGACCGGUACGCCUACCAGUACCGGUUCGGCGAUCCUUGGUCAGGGUUGACUUGUCAACUAAUGUGGUUGUUAUUCUGACCGAUGCCCUUUUGAUUAUAAUAUGCAUGGAGAAGAGACUUUUGAGAGCAAUAUCUUGAUUUUUAUGAUCUAUGUUUAUAAUUUUCUGAAGUUAAAAAUCUCUUUUUUUUUUGUUGAUCGAAACUUGUUAGCCAUUAUAUAUUUUUCGUAUUGUUAGUAAAUGUUUAUGGUGAAUAUUUUAGCUAUAUUUGUACUACUAUAAAAGAUCUAAUAUUGAUUCCUGUUUAAAAGAGUGGCAUUGUACCAGAUGGUUGAACUGGUCAAAGGAUCAAUUGACCAAGUAAUGAUCCGGAUGGGCCCCCAAACAAUUCAAUGAAAAAAUCUUUUGAUUUCAUGACAACUGCUUGAAUGGCCUAUUUGACUGGUGACCGGAACAAACCAUCCCAGUUAUUAAUAACAACCAGCCAUGUCUGUGUGUAAAAAAUAUCUACCAUACUCUGUACUCCCCAAUCCCCAGUGUUCUGCACUGUCUACAAGAUGAGACUCUGGUGUUUAGUGUUCUUCGUUCUCCACAAGAUCAGACCUUAUGCAGCUGUCCCUCAACAAGGUCAGCAUUUGAGCUAUAUGCCCCUUUUCUCACCUCCCUUUUCCCUAAACUGCAUCAUGUGGUGUCUGGGCCAGUAAGGUAUCCUUCAUGGAUGAUCAUCGUGGUCAAGCAUUAUAGAUGAAAGUACAUUUGUAGUCAUCCCAACAGGCCAUCUCCUAAAUCCCCAAACCUUGUCCCCUUAACCCCCAAGUCAAAAAUGUAAACUCAUUUUUUUUAUUCUCUUCCAUCCCACCUAACUCCUUUCUUCCUCUUCUGUCUGUGACGGACUUGGUACUUACACAAAAGCUUUGCUAAAAUUUGAUAGGACAUGAUAUCAUCCGUAAUCCCUAAUGGCAUGCAAAUCCCUUCACGUGAUGGAAUUGGUUUAUGUGGAGUCAAUAAGAAAUCUAAGAUGGGAUUUAGGGUAGAAAUCACGUUUCUUUUCUUUUUUUUUGAAAAUGUAAAACUCUAUUAUUUUGUUUGUUAGAACUUGUAUUGCAUAUGACCAUACCAAUGAUUUCUUGAGCUAUUGUGAUGUCAUAUGAUUUUAAAGAGUGGUUGAAUGUUGUUGUGCAAGUGCUGCAGAAUUUUAAAAAUUUUAAAUAUUAUUCUUAUAAUGUAUUUAUAACUUUAUUAUAUUUAUGUCUAUAAUUAAUUGAAGUUAAUAUAUUUGUUUUGACAUGAUGACAUUAUAGUUCGCUGCAGGUUAACCCAAAUUGUUGAUCCAGUGACCCAACCCAGUUACUUUUUCAGUUUGAUACACAGUCCAGAUUUUAAAACCUUGCAUUGAUCAUAGUGAAUUCCCCCGUUGGUUCCCAAGUAUUACAUACCCAUGAGAGCUGCCUGUUUUCAGAACAAGUGAAACAGAACAUCAUAUGACUCUGUUCAAUGCUCUUUGGAUCAAUUUUACUUUUUGAUUUAAAGUGGACAUAAGAAACAUGACUACUAUAGUCCAUUCCAACCUAUAUAUUGGAAGUUUUGGAAUACUGGCAGACCUUUUUUUAUGAUUUUUUUCCACAUCAAAUUGUCCUUCUGGAUUUUAUCUUCCAUGAGGAAAACCAUACAUAUAUUUUUUUUUAUCUUUAGUUAACCUUGUAAGUAAUUCUAUUUUAUUCUAAAUAUUUUCUUACUCAUUUUUUGUAUAAUAUCCUCCUAAUAUAUUAAUAUAUUUUGGCCUUUUAUACAGGACUCCCUUAUUCCCCAAAUUAUAGAAGUUCUCUAGUUGAAUUGAUCUUGACAUGAACAUAGUAACAUUGUUCUAUUCAUACCAUAGAUGUCACACCAGGACAUAGCUGUCUUACAGUAGUUCAUCAUCUUGUAUGGAUGAGGAUCCUUUGCCCGACAAUUCUCUUAUGUUUUUGCACUACUCUCCUUGUGGAUGCAGGCUUCAAGAUGCGGAUGCUUGUUGUGUAGAAGAUGUUGACUGGGAUAAUCUUCUCGAGCAUAGGUAUAUAUGUUUUAAUGUGUUCUCACAACCCUUAAAUAUGAAUAACCAUUAAAAGUAAAUCCUCUACAGCUAUACACAAUUUGAUUGGGUUGUUCUCGGACACUUUUACAGUGGAAUUGAGGUCUACCAAGGUAAUUGCACAUAUUCAUAUAUAGCAGGCAUGAUCUGUUCUGUUGAAGUACCGCAUUUUCAUUUCACUGCAUCGGCACUUGUUAUUUUUAGCAGAGACAGUUACCAGAGACCCACCCAAAUGCUGAAACACAUUGGAGGAACCCAGUUUGCACCAGUUGCAAACAGCAAAUCCAGAAAUAAGUUUAGAUUGCUUAGAGAGACAACCUUACAGAAGAACAUCAAUAAGUUAACAUAGAUUUUAAUAGGAAAAGAGAUUUCCUGCUUGUGUCAUUUGCAUUUUUUUCUAAAAUAAAAAAAAAAUGAUAUGAGCUGUUCUUGCUUUUUAUAUUUGAAGAAUACUGUGUGGAAAUGUAUAAAAGAUUUUUUUUUCUUUUACUUCCACUUGUACAUAAACAAAUUAUAAGAAGUGAUUGUCUUGUUGGUAAUGUUAGGAUUCCAAUGAGGCAAAAGGUUAAUAGGUUUUUUUAACUUCUGUUAUUUGCAUCCCAGCUUCAAUAUGAACUUGAUGUUCUUUAUUUCCUUCCUAAAGGCUUAAAUUUGUUAUUUUAGCUGCAUACCUGUUCAUUCCCUGAACACCGAUGGACAACCCUUCUGCGUGCUAGUUGUGUAUACUUUGUUUUUUAUUGUGCAAAAUCUAGAAAUUGUUCAACAGAAUACCUUUAAUUUGGUUGGCUUGAACCAAGUUUAUAUCAUGUUUGUACACCAUCCUUCUAAAUGUAGUUUCCUGUUCUCUUAAGAAUAGGCAAAUACAUAACUAUGCUGCAACCAGAAGUUCCUCUGGUAUAAGCCUCACGUUGUUUCCCAUUUGAAUAUCACGUUAAUUGCAUAGAAUACUUCUUCCAAGUAAACUCUAUACUAGAUAAAUUGUGACAUUAUAGUCAUUGAUUGACUGUUAUAUUGCCCUAAGAGUCAUGGAGUGUGGCCUUUUGUUAAUCUCUAGUGUCUGUUAUUGCUGCCUCCACCAUGUAAUGUAAGAUUCGGGCUUCUAAUUAAUGCUUUUUAAUUCUCAGGUCUGGAGAAGUUUGUCGAAAACGAUGGAACCAAAUGAUCCGUCAUAUUGGUGGGCACCGGGAGAAGCCAUUCAUCAAGCAACUGGAAGUUCUCUUCGGACGCUAUUGCCCGGAUAUGCUUGAAUACAGAAAAUGAUGACAAGUAUUUUUGUUCGUUCUUUUCCUUUGGUUUAUAAGUUUUGUUAGGAUCAUGGCCCAUUCUCCAAGUUGAGAGAAACUUGAUAGAAUAUUUUUGUAACUGCAGUAUUGGAAGCUAAUUCAAUGGCAAGAAGAAAUGACCUCGGCUUAAUUUUAAGGGAUGGUGCAUAUUGAUGUCAAUUCUGGUGCCUAUUUUAAGUAUAUGGGAUAGCAAGGGCCUGCUUGGUACUGUUGUUUUUUUACCUGUUUCUGUUUCUGUUUUUCUACAAAUUAGGGAAAACCUGCUUGGAGAUUGGUGGAAAGAGCAUUUGCACUGUUCCUUAUUUUUUUUCACUUUUUUAAGUGGGAUUGACAAGGGCACGAGGUUUAUAGACAAUUUUGAAAACCAAUAAGUCUCAUCGCACGUAUUUGUUCCGUUUCGUUGAUUUUUUUUCUCAGAUUUUUAAAAAAGAAAAAGAGAACAAAAGUAGGCACGAGGUGGGUCUCAAAUAUAUUAUUCGGCAUAUAAGAUUCGAUGGGAAGGCCCUUAGCACGAGUUAAUGUGUCAGAUGCUGGCACGUAUUCAUGAUUGUCCGAACUUUGAUUCUGCUGUCUUUUCUAAAUUCAUGUCCAAAUUAUUUAAUCCAAAGUUCAUUUCUGGUCCGAUAAAAGUUGUUUUCUCAGCUUAUUCUAUUCUAAGCUCGGUUCAAAUCUUGAGAUUCGAUACGAGCACCGAAGUCCUCAGCUAUUGAACAGACGCAGCAAACGCGCUUUAUUCUUUCCCUCGAAUGACCCUGGUACCACCACCAAGGUGANNNNNNNNNNNNNNNNNNNNNNNNNNNNNNNNNNNNNNNNNNNNNNNNNNNNNNNNNNNNNNNNNNNNNNNNNNNNNNNNNNNNNNNNNNNNNNNNNNNNNNNNNNNNNNNNNNNNNNNNNNNNNNNNNNNNNNNNNNNNNNNNNNNNNNNNNNNNNNNNNNNNNNNNNNNNNNNNNNNNNNNNNNNNNNNAAAAAAAAAAAGAACUCUGGUACCGGGGGAAGUUUUUUCUAAUUUAUCUUUAUUCGGUAAUAACUUUUUUUAAUAAAAUAUUUAUUAUCAAUAUAUAUAUAUACACGCACAUUAGUUUGUGAUGAAUCAUGAAAAGAAUGAUAAGAAUUCCGUAUCUAUGAAUAUAGAUAUAGAAAAGAAAGAAUAAAUAAAGAUUUUAUUUUAUUUUAUAAAAUUUUUUUGGCACACCAUGUGAAGGAAGGGGGCAAGGUUCGACUCAGAUAGGAUUCAGGUGCAAAUGCAAAGCAUCAAUCCUUGUAUUGCAUGCGGCCUUGGAGUGAUUCUUUUGGUACUUUUCCUUCUUUUUUUUUUUGUUUGGUUUAAACGAGCCAAGUUUGAGUCACCUAAUCCUUAGCUCAAACUUGGCUCAUUUUGUAAUUGAGUUGUGCUCGAGUCAGCUCAUUUAAUUUUUAACAUUUGAAAGAUGGUAUUACGAGUAACUUGGAUUAAGUGAUUCAAGCACACCUCAUGUCCAGUUAGAUAUAAGCUUUUCUAUGGCCAAGCAUAAGUUCGGGCUUCAAAUAGAUUUAUGUGACACCAGCCUUGGCAUUUGUAGGUAUCAAAACGAAAAUAUAAGGUUAUAUAUAUUAGAGCUAUCAUUUUUUCCGCUUCACGGUUCGGUUCAGUUGGUAAUUCAGGGUGAAACAGGCUGAGGUGAAAAACAUAGCUCAAGCUACGACCUUCUUUUGUAAUUGUCCUGAGCUUAACCCAACUCAUUCAGUCUCAUGCUAGAUUUGUAGCUAUUCAUGAGGAGCUUGUUUAAGUGAUCUUGUCGGAGAAGGGUUCCCAAAGCUUUCCUUCAAAUGCUCCGAUGUUUUUCCAACAGCAAACCUAGAAAGAGUCUAAACUAUUACGUGGGGGUCAAAAUGCCAAACCUACCAUGGUGUCCUAGAAAGGAUAAAUAGCCUCAAGGUUCCUUUUUUUACAUUUUUUUUGUUCUUUUGCCAACUUACAUCAUUUAUUAAAUAGGAUAGGUUUAGAUUUAGAGAAUGGACUUUGUUUAACCUUUUGAAUGGUUAGAUCAUAUCAUGGCCCGACUCAUUUAAGAUCCAUUUAACCCAUUCAAGACUAAUUUAAUCGUUUAUUGCACAUUUAACCUAUUUAACUUGCUUUGACCAAUUUACUAAAUGGGGUUAGGGGAUUGGUUAGGUUACAUAUUUAAGAAAAAAUAGAUCAGGCUUGAGUUUAAAUUUUUGAUCCAUUUAAUAAAAAAGUCGAUUUGGUUCCCACAUAUUUGACCCGAUCGUAACGUACCCCGCCCACUAUUUCAAGCCAACUAGAGCCGACUGCUAUCACUAUUUAGGGAUCCUUUGAAGGAUAUUUUCUGUUUAAUAUAUACACUUUGAGCUGAUUUCUACAAUUAUUUGCCAAUUUUGUGGCUGAAAAAAAUGUUUUUUUAAUACAAACUUUGUUAAUAAAUGAGUCAUGCUUGAUUCUAGCUCAACUCACUUAUACUUUGAGCCAUGCCAAAACUCAAACCACAUUUUGUGGUGAACAUGAGCUCUCAUGAAAAUAGUUAGCACAUUUGACUGCCUCAUUGCAGGGGAUGUGAUGUCCCCUAAUAAAUUUUUAAAAUUUCAGGUUGAAUAACUAUAGGCCCCUUGAAUAACAUUUUUAUUAUUUCCGCUUCUCGAGGCCAAAGAAAAAAUCAGCUAGACUGAAAAUAUGCAUGGUGACAAUGUUUAGAAAUUUUGAUAGCUACUUAGGAUCUUCAAAUUGCUUUUAGAAAUUUUUAUAGAAAAAAAAUUUAAAAAAUUAAGCGCAAAUUUAUUGGUUUCACAUAUAUCUCACUCAUACGAAACCAGCUACGUAGGAUCUUCAAAUUGCUUUUCAUACUUUUGGAACGGCUAAUAAACUCCAAAAAAUGGGAUUAAUGCACGGGUAAUCUUUGAAAUGGAACUCCAUCACGAAUCGAACUAUUUACUUGCGACAGUAGAGUGUUACACACAAAUUGACGGCUUUAAAGCUUUAGUAAACAAAAGAGAGAGAGGGAGAGGGAGCUUUUUUUUUUAAAUAUUUUAGCUCUUUCUUUACCUACAUCAAGCUUAGAUGGAGGUUUAUGUACAGUAAUUCCUCCAUGAAACUCACAAUAAAUGAACAACCCCAUUAAAUCAAUUUGUUCAGCCCCCUUCACUUUCUCAUCCAUUGUGCUUCAAAGUAUGUAAUACACAUGGGCAUUAAAUUCCAAUGUCUAACCAUUUUCAGAAAAAAAUAUGCAAAGAGGAGCAACAAACCUAACAAUUGAUCAUCUUCAAAACCAGUCUUCCUCCAGUAUCUCAAAUAAUGAAUGAAAUAAAAGAGGGAAAUAGCAAGUAUCAAACAGGCACAGUAUUUCCUUGGUUGUCAUGCUAUCAUUCAUAUCAUGUCUCGAACCAAUGAUAGAAACGUUAUUUCCAAUUAGAAGCACUUCCGUCUGAAUUUUUUCCCCCACAAAUUACUCCGAUACUCUUUAUCUUCGAAAAUAAAACCUGGCUUCUUCUCUGACCAAGUCAUCUCAAAUACAGACAAAUGAAAAAUUUAAUAUGAGCGCCCAAGUAUUUUUAAUAGUAUGUGUUCCUAACUUUCACGUUUAUUAAUAGUUGCAUCACUUCUUCCUGGAGACAAAUCGGCAACCGUGGUUGGGGGGAAAAAAGGCAGCAAGGCAGUAACCAAGCACCCAAAUAAUAUUUUUUAUAGCAAAAUAACUAUUUUUAAAGAAAAAGUUUUAGAAUAUGAAUUUUAUCCCCUUUUUUACUUACAUUUUCACACAAUGUUGGUGUUUGAAUCCCUCCACCUACACAUUCAAUUGAUUAAAUCCCCAACGCGUUCCUCAUUUCAGGAAAUCACUUAGUUUAAGGUUUUUUUAAAUCAUCUAGAUUAAAUUUUUCUUGCCCUGUAUAAUUUAUAAUAAAAUAUAAAUAAAUAGAUAGAUAACAUUAUGAAGAUAAUAUCAGCAACAUAAACUUCAUAUUUUAUUUAAUCAAAAAACAAAAAGUUUAUAUCAGCAGCAUAAACUUUUUGUUUAAGAUUUUCCCAUAUGUUUAUCUUCGUCGAAGCUCUAUAUCAAAUCAUAUAUCAAAAAUUCAUAGCUCUAAAAUUUUUUAAUUUUAAAUUUUGAUGCUGAAACAAUAAAUAGUUGCAUUUUUGUUUCCACCCGCUUUCUGUUUUUUCCGUACAUAAGGAAAGGUAAAACUCUACCUUCCAAGCUUUACCCGUGGGCCACAAGUGGUUCCUGUCUCGGGCCCAUAAACCUGAGGUGAUCUCCCAGGGAUACACACAACCCCAGGCCAUCAUGAGACUCGAGCCAAAACCCUCCCUCAGCUUUCACAUUCCCCAUGGAGUCAAUGCAAAAGCUGUAAGUAUUAAUACAAAUAUACAAUCCACCGCAGUACUACUAAUCAUCACCUAGUUAUGAUGCCCCCCUCCAAAACCAAUAACAAACAUUAUUAUUUUCCUUUUUUUUUUUUUCAAAGGACGAGUACAUUUUUUGUCCCUUGUUCUCUCCCAUUUUUUUUCUUUUCCAGCAUCUCUAAAUUAUCACAUCAAAUGUGGACCAAUGCACUUGCCCAAUGCCUCUUCUGACCUCUGUGCUGUUCGCAGGGAAUAAAGCCAUUCCACCACCAAAAUGUUGGUGGAGCACCUACGUUUCACCUUAACUAGAACAACAAUCUUGUGUUUUAAUGUAACAAAAAAAUUGGGUCUCCUUUAAGAGGGUCAAAGAGGGGAUAUUCUAUAUUAACUUGCAACUGUAUUUAUUGACCUUUCAUUCGUUUAGAAAAGGGAUAAAAUGUACACCUCUUCGCGGCUCCAUGGAGGGAGUUAAUGAGCAUGUCGGCAAUCUGUACAUCAUAUGUACCCCCCCCCAAAAAAAAAACAUGAGAACAUCAUAAAUGGUCCAAGAGCAGGGAAGACAUGCAUGCGGAUGUGAACCCUCUGGGAGAAUGUUUGGUAGUACCUCACAGGCCCGGUUGGCCCCGGGGUUGUUUGUUAACAGGAUUCAUAAAUGCACACUCACCAUCCAUGAUGGGCACUUGUGUUUGUGUGCGUGUUUUUUUGAUUUUUUUUUUUGAUAAAAAGAAAAACGAACACAAGGGUAUGUAUCAAAUGAACCUGUAGGUGGGCUCCGCUUCAAUUACUUGUGGCACAAGUGCUUUCAUUCGUCAUUACUGUGCUCUAAAUUUUAAAAAAUAUAUUUUUUUGAAAUAUUAUUAAUUGAACUAUUAGAGGACACUCCUGCGUCGUCUAAGACUACAUCGGAGGAGCACGUCCCUUUUUUUUAAGCACCUUAGGUACCUUAUGGCGUACAUUCUGUUCCCACUAUGAUGUUGUAUUUAUUAAUGAUUAAAUGUUUUAUAUUAUUACAAUCCUUUGGUGGUAUGGUUGGUUUGUGUAUGGGGUUUGUUCUCACAAGAUUGUGAGUUCGAGUCCUGAGUCUUUCUUCCCAACGCGCCUUGCACGAACGUAAAAGCAAGUGCUUUUACGACCGUGCAAAAAAGGGAGGCGCAGCAACGCGCNNNNNNNNNNNNNNNNNNNNAUAUGAGGCCAGAUUUUUAAAGUACUGUUACUGAUUAUUAGAUCAUAGCUCAAAUGCAUCAUGCUGAUAAGGCAGUUAAAAGAUGGGUGGGAUAUAUAGUGUGAUUGGUGGUUUGAGGAUAAAAGGCGCUCUACCGGCCUUUAGGCACUUUUGCCUCAAAAUUUGGACCGGAAUAGAAAUAUAGUUCGGACGACUUUGAGAUCAACUGAAGACAAGCUACACAGGCUAGUUGAGGUACCGGAUGCUAGUCUCCUCUGAUUGGUGGCCUGCAAAAAGUCCGCUUAUCGAAGAGUUUCCAACGGAAACCCUCCGAUGUCUACGUUAGAACAAUGGAACAACAAUAUAGAAAGGAGAAAGAGUUUCAGCAGAUUGUCGCUUUGUGAAUAGGAUUGCAUGUAUAUUACGUACCCGAAGUCCCCCCGAAUUACUCCCCUUAUAUAGGGAAGCCAAUUUAAUUAUCGCUAUUUGGGUCGACGUGACGUACAAUAAUAGCCAGACAAUGACCGAUGGUACGACCGCAGCGUGGGUGCCAGUCCACAUGAGUGGUAGAGUGCGCUAGUGGGGCGCAGGAUGUGAUGCCGCCAUGACUGCGGACUAUCAGGGUUGUCGGUUGUUGGAACUAUCAGCCUUUGUCAACUCAUGCCAAUUGUCUUGCCAAGCCGAUGACUCAUCGAACGAUUGGCUCUUCAGCUGGGGCCGAGGAGUUCACAUUGGAUGGUUGGCUGCUUGGUUGUGGCUUACAUCUGAGGUAAAGGGGGAGAUCUAGUUUGAGGUCGAGGUACUUAAUAUUUUUCUCAUCACUUUUCCCUCACUUUCGAGGCCAACCUGCACUCUAGUUCUGGCGAUAGAAGUCAAAUGGUUACCUUGAUCGAGAGCGACGCCUCUAGCAGAGGCAUUGAGUGCACCGUUUGGUCUUUAUGAAGCGUUAUUAGGUCUGGGCUAUCCUGAGACAUCAUUAUUACUGAGCGACUCCGAGGCAUCAUUAAUGUGGCGAUUCAACAAAUCACCCAUGCCAUACCCUCUGUUGAUGCCUGAGUAGACGAAUCGAUAUAUUAAUUAGGAUCAUCUGCACACAUAUAUAAGGGUGUCUUCAUCCUUCAGACUCCACUUCUCGCUCCAUCUCCCUUCUCUAUCCGAGUGCUUGAAUCGUUCAAGCGCCCAGGUAGUGCUUCGACAAAAUCUUUUGUUUUGGGCUUCGGCAUCCUCCAUCUCCGACUUCAGCAUUCGUCGUGUCUUUCUAUUUUUUGUAGGCUUUCGCUCCUUGGCUACUCGGCUCUUUUCUCGUCUUCUCCCUCGCUAUCUUGUCUCUUUUUCCUUCAUUUUCAUCUUCCUCAUUAUGAGCGACCGUGAGGUUAGUACCCUAAAGGGGAGUCGGUCAUUGGAUCAUUCUUUCUGGGCUUGGCGGUCGUCACCUUUGGCUAAGUCUGGAGCCCAAUCGGGCUCGGACGAUGAGGUAUUUGUCCUCACACAAGAGGAGAUGGACCUCGUUCGAGCCCAGAACUUUAUCUCUCUCGAGCUCGUCUCCGAGCUCAUCGGUCCCAGUUUCAGGUUACCGAACCUUCUAUUUCUUUGCUCAGCCUAUAUGAGGAAACUCUGAGGGCACAAUGAGGCUGCCUCUCCAUCCUUUCUUCGUUCAGCUGAUGAGGACAUAUAGCUUUAUCCCAACUCAAGUAGUGCUGAACUCCUGGUGGGUCCUUAUCGUUUUUUUGUCUCUUUAUCUUCUCUAUGGUAUCUGAGCCUCUACUUCUCUUCCAAGGGUGCUUCACUUUGCAAAAGCAUCUCCAAGACAGCAGCUGGUGGUAUUUUUUUCUUAGAAAAGAAGAUUUUUUUUUUUGUCUGCUCCGAGCAGCCGUGAGGGUUCGAGACCGCAUGGAGAGUACCCCAGACUGACUGUGUCGGCCUCCGAAGUUGUCUGGUGAUGAUCAAAGGUCCUUGGACAAGCUUCUGGAGUCUCGAUCCAAGACUCCCCCGCCUUGCAGGAGCUACUGUCCGAGGAGACACUUAUAACAUCGGUCUAAGUCUAGUUGAACUCCUAGGUAAGCUCCUCUUGAGCUUUUCCUCUAUCACCUUAUCGUAUUCCUUUCUAACUUCGUCCUUAGUUUUGUAGUUCCCGCUGCCAUUAAGUUCGAUCCCUCCCAAAUUCAUGAGAGGAGGAACGUGUUGAUAUAAUUGUUGGCUCAUGCCAAUAUUUCAGCGAAAUCGAUGGGGAAGCACUUUUUUAGGAAGAAGAGGAAGCUUAAUAGCCACAAGCCACUCUUUAUUGCAAACAUUGCGACCGACUAAUUCAGUAUCGAUGUGUUGAAGCGGCUGCUAACAUAUUCUUUGAGAGAUUUUCUCUUCCUCUACUUGAUGUCGAGCAACAUGUCCGAGUUGCGGCGGCAUCUUUUAUUGGAGACAAUGUACCACGAAGAGGCGAGUGAGCUGCUUGAAAAAAUGAAUAAACUCGGGCCGAAGCCUGGAGAACCAGAACCGAGCCACCUUGUGAAGGGUCGCAAGGAACGCCUUGCAAAGCACGGCAUCAGUGGCUCCGUGCAGCAUUAUGAGAGCUUUGAAGCUCUCAAGGUGGUCCAAGAGAUCCGAGGUGCUGUCGUACGGCUCCAUUAAAGGCAUCCUGAACCAAUGUAGGAUUGGUUCCUUCAUGAUUUGGCGGAAAAAGGAGCUCCAAGAAAAAGUUGAGGUCAUUGCUCAUCCUCAGAGCCUGCCAUUUGAGGGCCUAAAUUUGGCGGUCUAUUUUCUCAAUCCUCCUAUCAAGAUCGACACCCCGCUAAGGUGGGGCCUCCAUGGGAUGAAUAGGUGGGAGGCUUCGGCCAAAGUUCCCAUCGAGAUGGAGGCUUGGAGUGCGUCAUCUCCCAUUCCUGGCGAGGUUGCUCUGUCGAGCAUGCUAACUCUGGCUAGACCGCUCGAGAUUCCGAUCUUGAGAGCGGUGGUUGUCCUAAGGCACGUGGUGUGUCGAUGACUGAGAAUGGGAGCUGUGCUGGUUGGAUUCUGGUUGGACUGGCCAUGUCAUUGCCUGCACCUGUUGAGUGAGCAGGUUGAGCUGCUCAUUGUCUAUAGGUGUCGUAAGCUGCUCCAAUAGAGCAAGUUCGGAGCUUUGUAGCAACCUUUGGGAGGUCGAAGCGCAGCAUUGAGAAGCAUGUGAUGUGCCACGAGUUCCUCACGACUUCAUGCUGGUUGUUUCUCCCUUCAGUUGAUAUUGAUAUAGUUGAGAGAUAUGCCCUUCCUCUAGCGCCAAUCUAUUGCCGCGGAAUUUGGAUUGAGGUGAGAAUACAGCUCCGACGACCCUGAGGUUAGCUAGAGACGAGCUGAGCAGGCUGUUGAGGUGUUGAGUGCUGGUCUCCUUUGCUAAGUGGUCUGCAAGAAGUCUGAUUGCCAGAAUGUUUCUGGCGGGAGACCGUUCAAUGCCUAAGUCAAAACAACACGGCAACAGUAUAGAAGGGAGAGAACUUCAGCAAAGGAUCGCUCCGUGAGUAGAGUUGCACGUAUAUUGCGUACUUGAGAUCCCCCGAAUUGCUUUUUCUUAAAUAGAAAACCAGUUUGUCAUUACCUGGGCCGACGUAGCAUACAAUGAUGGCCAGACAAUGACUGGUGGUAUGACUGCGGUGUGGGUGCUAGUCCAUGUAGGCGACAGAGUGCGCUAGUGGGGUGUAGGAUGUGAUGUCGUUGUGACUGCGAAUUGACAGGACUUCGGUUGUUGAGACAAUUAGCCUUUGUCGACUCGUGCCAAUUGUCAUGCUCGGCUGAUGACUCUUCAGUCGAUUAGCUUUUUGGCUGGGGCAAGGAGUUCAUGUUGGAUGGUCGGCUGCUCGGUUGUGGCCGAAGUAAUUCUUUUUGGCUUACAUUCGAGAUAAAAGGGAGAUCUGAUCUGAAGUCGAGGUACCCCAUAUUUUUCCCAUCAAGCACCUUUCGAUAGAGCCCCAAACCAAAUUUCAUAUUGUUGUGCCCUUUGUGGAUGGAAGAGUUAUCUUUUAUUUGUGGUGUUGGAAGGUAACUCAAUUCCUGUCCACCUCAUUGGUCUUGAGUUCCCUAUUCCAGGUAUGAGCUAUGGAACCCAAGAGUAAAUCAAUGUCAUAGUGACAUUUUUUGCCCACCGUCGUAAAUGGGGUAAUAUCUUUGAAGAGAGUGUAUAUGCCCACGGGGUAUGCAAGGACAAAAUAGCCGGAGCAACAGAUUUUCUCUGUUGAUUCAACUAGCUUUGGAGAUUCCGAUCUCAUCCCGGAAUAGGAUGCUGCAAUAAUUCUACCAGAUGAAUUGAGGGAAAAUAUCCCUGCAUUCCUUCUGCAAUCAGCAAACCAUAGGAUGGUGAUUGAAAAAAAUCCUUUCUUGUGUGCUGGCCUUGCGUCAAUAUCAGAACACGUAUAUGAUUGUUUCAUAUGUUCACAUAAUUCAUCAUAUAUUGCUAACAUUUAUAGUUACUUGAUUUGUAUCCUGCUGAUUUAAUUUGAGCUCUAAUAAUCGUAUAUAUACAUACUAUAAGAUGAAGCAUGGUUUAUAUCAACCGUGAAAUGGAUACAAUUCCACUGAAGUAACUUGGCAAGUCUCUCUCUUUUUUUUUAAUCUCUAGUUAUAUAAUACAGCUUGUAUUAAAUUUGUCUUUAUUUGCAUGCGCCGCAUGGAACUCAUAUCAUGAAUUCUCCAAACAGAUCUUACUAGUUACUACACUAAUGCACUACAAUAACCAAAGUAUUUAAGUAUAAUUAAUCUAUGACGUAUGAAUUGCGGUACAUUAUCCAUUCAUGGUAUAUCAUGGCCAUCUCAAGAGACUAACAAAAAUAAUAAUAAUAUAUCUGUGUUUGUAAUAAUAUCACAAAAAGUGUUGAUACAUGGCAAAAUCUUUCACAUAACUACAAACCAAAUAUAUUAUCAAAAAUACAUGAAAAUACAAAAAAAAUUAAAGGCUGCCAAAUAAGAAUAUUAAUAAUAGUAAUAAUGCUGAUAAUGAUAAUAAUAAUGAUAAUAAUAAUGAUGAUCAUAAUCAUAAUGAUAAUGAUAAUAAUAAUAAUAAUAAUAAUAAUAAUAAUAAUAAUAAUAAUAAUAAUAAUAAUGAUGAUGAUGAGGAGGAGGAGAAGUAAUAACAGCCUGCUUUUUUUUCCAUCAACUUAGGGUCCAUCACGUGCACCUCACAUGCGUUGGCGGACAAAAAGGGAUCGCGAGUUCGUCGCCGAGGAAUAAAGGCGGCGCACUGCUUUUUAUCAGUAGUGCUCGAUUCGCCGCUGCAGCAGCAGAAGGUGUUGUGGGGCCCACUCCUUUCUUAUAUUCCGAAAGUACCCCCACCACUUUAAAUCUAUUUCCGUUGCGACGACGUUACAGCCUCCGGCGGGAGUCGUGGGACCAGUGGGCCCUACUCAUUUUGUCGUGGAGAAGAAACGGAAACGAAACGUCACGCGGCCUUUCUCCUUCCCCCUCCCCCCGCUCUCUACUUUCUGAGAAGAAACGAGAAAAAAUAAUUAAGGAAAUCGCCGUGUUGGGACAAGGAAGAGCCAACGGAGGGUGAAUACGACCACCCCUCGCCCCUCGGCAACCGCUGCCGCUUGCCGUACGGCAUUGAGGGGCCCAAUCAGUCCAAUCAACCCAUGCCCACUGAAAGAGGCCCCACUAAUUAGCCAAAAGUUUUGAUUUAUUUCUUUUUCAUUGGAAAAUAAAGAAACAAAAAAAAAAUAGUGGAAGUAGAGUUCCGAGUUCAGCCAUAGAGAGUUUGAGUUGUGAAUAAAGAAUGGGCACCGCAAGAACGACUGCAUCACAGGGCCUCGUUAAUUCCGAAAUGUUAGAAUUUCAGAGCAACACUUACCGCAUGCUGGUAGCAGACGACAUAUCAAACAUCACUCCAUCCUCGGUUACACCCGCUGCCUCCGGCCAACCUCGCCACCACCUCCUCAGCAUCCCAUCACAGACGAGAUCGAAAUGGCAGAUACUUCACCCUUCUCCAGUGCCACCGGUCUUGACGACCUUCAUGCCGACGACGACCAUCGCUUUAGUUUACGAGAUCAGGAUCCUCUUCGUAUGUUGGGUGUUUAGCACCCAAAACCAUAUAUUAGGCCGUCUUUAUUUUUGAGAUGGUUAAUGGCAUCCAUUCCAAGUUUAAAAUCGUAGUGGCUAUCACACGAUGCAUAGCUUUCUCUAUGCAAAAAUAUGCACUCCAGAGGACCGGAUUUGAGUCCACGAGAACCGCCUGCUGGUUUUUUGUUUUUGUUUUUUUUUUGUACAACGGAGACUUACACACGACGAGUGUGAAUAUAACCACCAAAAUCAGAAAAAAAAAUUGUACAAGAAAUUAGACACAAACACAUGGUUCUCUCAUAUAAAGUCUUCGGAGUGAUAAGCAAUAAAAGAGAUAAUUCAGUCAGCAGCACCGUUCGCCUUUCGUUUUUAUGGUCGAGUCGAUCGUGCAGACACGUUUUAGUCACUUCCAUUCCAACCGUAAAAUCAUGGUGGCUAUCACAUGACGCAUAGCUCUCUCUAUGCAAAAAAAUAUGCACUUCAGAGGACUAAAUUUGAGUCCGCGAGAAGUGCCUACUUUUUUUUGGGGGUUACAACGGUAAUUUACCACGACAAGUGUGAGUGCAGCCAACAAAAUCAAAAAAAAAAUUACACGAGGAAUCAGACACGAAUAUAUGGUUCUCUCAGAUUAAGCCUUCGGAGUGAUGAGCAAUAAAAGAGACAACCCAAUCAGUAGCACUGUUCACCAUUCGUUUUUACGGUCGAGUCGAUCAUGCAUACAUGCUUUAGUCACUUCGAUCAUGGCCUAGGAGCUCAUAAUCUUUUUUUUUAUAUAUACUAAAAUCUAUUUCCGCAGCACCAAGCGACCUUCCAAUACCUUUGUUAAUAUAGCACUAGAUGAACAGUAUAAAUAAUUCGUUGCAAAGGCUAUUAUUACAAUAUUAUAACUGCGGUUAUUCUUGAAUCUCGAGGGGUUGGAGACAAUUCACUUCCCGGGAAGCCAAAAAGAAAUUCUCCACGGGAAAACGAUGCGGCCGAGACAGCCCCACAUCCCGGAAAACCAGGCGUCAAAACGGCGGCGACAUUCUUGACGUUCCCAUCCCUAUCCGCGGGAAUUCCGAGGACAAGACCGGACCUGACAGAGAUCACGGGUGGGAAUCGAGAAUUGGGCGGAAUAUCUCGCUCGACUUCGCUCCCCAGCGAUCUUCCUCUGUCUGCCCCUUUCCCUCGCCGUCGGCAUGUCUUCGGCCGCUCCCCGUCGAGCCAAAACAACAAAAAGGGGAUAGCAGGCACGAUAGCGACCCAACGGCUUUCCGGAUUGCGACGCCCUCCCACCCCCUCUGCCACGAUAUCCGCUCAUUUCGCCGUAUCCGCUGUUUGGAGCCCUCAAAAAGAUAAAACUGGAAUGGCUGUAUUACUACUGUGUCUUGGCAGCCUUGGACCGUGGUGUUUUGGAAGUUACUUGUUUUUGAAUUGAUCAAAUAGAUCGCCGUGAUGUUAUGGGGAUUCGAAGUUAUCUUUCCAUCAUCGCCUAGCUAAAGGAGAUUGUUUUCCUCGAUAGAAAUUAACACAUUAGACCUAAAUUGCAACCAUUGGAGAUGUAAUGCGAGGGUGCAUCAUUUUUUUUUCUUUAACAGCCGCUCACAUAUUACAGAUGUAGAUACGACCAAUAAAGUCCAAAAAUAAAAGGCUGCAAAAAGGCUCUGGCGCAGACCUACUGCCCAACCAAACGAAUCCAUCAGAGUAGUGGCCGCAAAAAAGGCAACCCAAUCAGCAGCACUAUAGGAUUGGCAUGACUAGGCUCUUGUCUACUCUUGAUUGAUGCUCUAAAAUAUUUUCUUUGCAACCAAAGAAGUAAUUGAAUUUCUCGUUGUAAAAUUAGACGGAGGUCGUUUUCAUUCGUUGGUUAGCAUGGACUUUUCUAGCAAAUUAAAGGUAAAUUAAGGAAUCCAAGGCUGUCAUUGAGAUAUCAGAUUGUUAACCUCCUUGCAAGUUACAAGAAAUAAUAUAAAUCCUAAAAUGCCAUGAAUAGGAACAUUCUCCAUGUUUCUACUAGGAACUCCAUGAAUUGUAGCUGAGAAGUGCAAAUGAUGUUUCCUUUUUGUGAUUGGCAAUGAUAUGAGCAUUAGUUCAGUGGUCAUACUUCUCCGUUUUAAAGCAAGGAAUACGGGAUUUGAGUCUUGAAUGAUGUUUUUCCUCAAGUUUUAAACUCAAAUAUGGAUGAAAAUGCUUUCCAAAUAAAAAUCUUAGAUUUGAGUCAUGUACUAGUCCAGAUAGAGAUAUGAUGAUGGUCUCCCUCCUAAUCUGUAAAGAAGAACGGCAUAGAAAACCACUUCAAGAACCUAUAAUUUUUUCACAGACACUACAACAAUAAAGGGUUUUGGCGACUCUAUAUUGCCGACGCUACAAAAAAGCGUCGGCAAUUUUUUUUCUUGCAACGGUAACUGCCGACGCUUGUGGAGAGCGUUGGUAAAAAAACGUUCCGCCGACGCUUUUAAGCGUCGGCGUAGGAAAAAAAUACGACGACGCUUAUAAGCGUCGUCGGACUUCACUCCUCCCCUCCACAAAACCCCAUCGACCCCCUCCCUCCAUAGCCCACAGUCCGGUUCUUGAGCUCCAAGAGUCNNNNNNNNNNNNNNNNNNNNNNNNNNNNNNNNNNNNNNNNNNNNNNNNNNNNNNNNNNNNNNNNNNNNNNNNNNNNNNNNNNNNNNNNNNNNNNNNNNNNNNNNNNNNNNNNNNNNNNNNNNNNNNNNNNNNNNNNNNNNNNNNNNNNNNNNNNNNNNNNNNNNNNNNNNNNNNNNNNNNNNNNNNNNNNNNNNNNNNNNNNNNNNNNNNNNNNNNNNNNNNNNNNNNNNNNNNNNNNNNNNNNNNNNNNNNNNNNNNNNNNNNNNNNNNNNNNNNNNNNNNNNNNNNNNNNNNNNNNNNNNNNNNNNNNNNNNNNNNNNNNNNNNNNNNNNNNNNNNNNNNNNNNNNNNNNNNNNNNNNNNNNNNNNNNNNNNNNNNNNNNNNNNNNNNNNNNNNNNNNNNNNNNNNNNNNNNNNNNNNNNNNNNNNNNNNNNNNNNNNNNNNNNNNNNNNNNNNNNNNNNNNNNNNNNNNNNNNNNNNNNNNNNNNNNNNNNNNNNNNNNNNNNNNNNNNNNNNNNNNNNNNNNNNNNNNNNNNNNNNNNNNNNNNNNNNNNNNNNNNNNNNNNNNNNNNNNNNNNNNNNNNNNNNNNNNNNNNNNNNNNNNNNNNNNNNNNNNNNNNNNNNNNNNNNNNNNNNNNNNNNNNNNNNNNNNNNNNNNNNNNNNNNNNNNNNNNNNNNNNNNNNNNNNNNNNNNNNNNNNNNNNNNNNNNNNNNNNNNNNNNNNNNNNNNNNNNNNNNNNNNNNNNNNNNNNNNNNNNNNNNNNNNNNNNNNNNNNNNNNNNNNNNNNNNNNNNNNNNNNNNNNNNNNNNNNNNNNNNNNNNNNNNNNNNNNNNNNNNNNNNNNNNNNNNNNNNNNNNNNNNNNNNNNNNNNNNNNNNNNNNNNNNNNNNNNNNNNNNNNNNNNNNNNNNNNNNNNNNNNNNNNNNNNNNNNNNNNNNNNNNNNNNNNNNNNNNNNNNNNNNNNNNNNNNNNNNNNNNNNNNNNNNNNNNNNNNNNNNNNNNNNNNNNNNNNNNNNNNNNNNNNNNNNNNNNNNNNNNNNNNNNNNNNNNNNNNNNNNNNNNNNNNNNNNNNNNNNNNNNNNNNNNNNNNNNNNNNNNNNNNNNNNNNNNNNNNNNNNNNNNNNNNNNNNNNNNNNNNNNNNNNNNNNNNNNNNNNNNNNNNNNNNNNNNNNNNNNNNNNNNNNNNNNNNNNNNNNNNNNNNNNNNNNNNNNNNNNNNNNNNNNNNNNNNNNNNNNNNNNNNNNNNNNNNNNNNNNNNNNNNNNNNNNNNNNNNNNNNNNNNNNNNNNNNNNNNNNNNNNNNNNNNNNNNNNNNNNNNNNNNNNNNNNNNNNNNNNNNNNNNNNNNNNNNNNNNNNNNNNNNNNNNNNNNNNNNNNNNNNNNNNNNNNNNNNNNNNNNNNNNNNNNNNNNNNNNNNNNNNNNNNNNNNNNNNNNNNNNNNNNNNNNNNNNNNNNNNNNNNNNNNNNNNNNNNNNNNNNNNNNNNNNNNNNNNNNNNNNNNNNNNNNNNNNNNNNNNNNNNNNNNNNNNNNNNNNNNNNNNNNNNNNNNNNNNNNNNNNNNNNNNNNNNNNNNNNNNNNNNNNNNNNNNNNNNNNNNNNNNNNNNNNNNNNNNNNNNNNNNNNNNNNNNNNNNNNNNNNNNNNNNNNNNNNNNNNNNNNNNNNNNNNNNNNNNNNNNNNNNNNNNNNNNNNNNNNNNNNNNNNNNNNNNNNNNNNNNNNNNNNNNNNNNNNNNNNNNNNNNNNNNNNNNNNNNNNNNNNNNNNNNNNNNNNNNNNNNNNNNNNNNNNNNNNNNNNNNNNNNNNNNNNNNNNNNNNNNGCUUGUUCAGAAUAAUUUAAAUCUUGUUCUCUACAUAGAAAGUCAUCAGAAGGACUCUUUCAUUACCUUUUGAUUUUCUCAAAGUACGUUGAAGAUGACUCUCCAAACAGGUAUUUUCAGUUCAGUAGGCAGAUCUUAGAAAGCCUAGGCUUUGGCUCUUCCACCAAAAGAAAAAGAAGAAAAUGUCACAUCUCUAACAUUGUGUGGGAUGCUAUGAUGAAGCUGAAGACACCAAGGCAGUAUAUUUGAGACAACAGAUAUCCUGAUGCUUGUUUAUGAGUAUCUUGUAUUACUUCGUGCUUCUAUAUAGAACCAAUUGUUAGUAGAAAGAUAAUGCAUCCAAUUGUUUGUCAUCUUUUUAAAAUCACGAAUUUUUUUUUUAAAAAAAUAAUAUUCUAACGACGUUUUAAAGCGUCGUUAAAAUCACGAAUUUUUUUAAAAAAAAUAAUAUUCUAACGACGCUUUAAAGCGUCGUUAAAAUCACGAAAUUUUUUUUAAAAAAAAUAAUAUUCUAACGACGCCUUCGGCCUGUGGCCUCGUCCCCCUCAGGGGGAUUUACUUAUUCGCGCACACAUAAAGCGUCGUUAAAAUCACAUUUAACGACGCUUUAAAGCGUCGCUAAUUUCCGACGCUUUUGAAAGCGUUGGAAAAUAUUUUCCCCACUGUAGCAUAGGCGACGCUUUACCGACGCUUAGGAAAGCGUCGGGAUGGUUUUUACCGACGCUUAAAAGCGUCGCUAAAGGCCAAAAAAAGCGUCGCUAAUGCCCAAUUUUCUUGUAGUGAGAGCAAAUAGCAAAUAGCUACUGCUAUGAUUUAUGUACGAAAAAAAAACUACCAUCAAAUGCAUGAUAUGAUAAAAAUAGAACAAUGGCUUUCCCUGCUAGAAUAGCAAAAACGUAGAAGAAACUGAUUGCCAGCUAUUAUAGUGUUGUCAUGCUUAUGCCAUUCCCAUGCUAUAGGGAAGAUACUAACAUCUUGGUAACUAACUUACGUGGCGAGCAACAGAAAUUGCACCAUCUCAAUGCUGUCAGCAAUUAUAACAUGUAUGCAAGGAUUAUAUUUUUCAAAAUUGACAAAGCUUCUAGCUAAAUAACUAUAUGAAUAUUUAGGACACAUAUGAAAAAUAUUUAAAUAAACCAGCUCUUAUAACCAACUUUUUAUUAUAGUAAAUUCUGGAUUAACAUUUCUGGAGGUAUUUUGCAUAUGCAUGAUAGGUUUAGGUAGAGACCAAACAUCACUAACCUAUAACAAAUAGUGAAAAAAAUAUCAAGGAACAAUAGUAUAUAUGUUGACCCUAACAUUAAGAACUAAUCUUUCUAAUAUAUCACUAGAUUUUAUGUAUGUUGACUCUAGUGAUGCCGGUGUUUUCAUUCUCCAAAUUAAAUACAAAACAGAGUAAUUCUAUUGCAUGUAAUUCGAGCAGCAUGGAAGAAUAUAUCGUAUGCGAGGCGGAUGCUCGGUGCCGAGCAGGUGUACAUCUAGGGGGACUCAUCGAUGGGUUCGAGUGGAUAUGGGGUGCGGAUAGAUAUGAAGAUAGUUAUCCACUUAUUUGUGAGACACGCAAGCUGAUUGUGAAGAUGGGUGAGCACCAUGUAGUACAUAUUUUUCGAGAGACGAGCAGAACAGCAGACUGGAUCGCCUCCUAUGUUGCACGACAUUCCGAAAAAUUCUUAUGGAUGUCCACAGUAGAGCUUCCGCUCCAAUUGUACUUUUUAUUUUCUUCUGACUUGAUAGGAUGUAUUCAUGUUAGAAAUAUAUGAAUUGCUGUUUUUAUCCAAAAAAAUAAAAAUAAAAAUAAAAAAAAUCAAGUAAAUGCUACAUGGAAUCCCUACAAAACUACGUCUGAAUAGUUUUGCAGCUCAUAAAAUCAGAAUCUCUGUACACAGCCUCUCCUUCGAGUGUUUCAAUUCCAUCAAUAAUUCGAGCAUGAGCAGAGGAAGCUACAGGCAUCCUCGGAUACUCUCCACCCUCGGACUUUCUGUGGCUCACAACCUGCCACGUCAUCCACAAUAGUCCACUGCGCCUGACGCAAGCGCACACGUGGCUUCCCCGACCCCUAAUAAAUUCCAUUGGAACACGUCACGGACCAUUAAUCCACAGAGACUUGUGGCCGACACAUUCCCUGAUUUGCGUUUUAAGCUCCCCAUAUUAAAUGGCUGCACAUCUGACGUUUCAAACCGGGCGCGUGCUCUGAACCAGUGGAAAUGAGACACGUGGUCGAACGGUCUGUAGCCGGCUAACGUGCGCGAAGCAUAACUAACCUACGCUCUUAGCCCGCCAUAUCUCCGUGAACCUUAUUAACCUGCUCUUGUGUCUGGUGACAAGACCACGCCCGUCCCUAGCCCCUAACCUAGCAUCUGUAGGCACCAACUCAUAUAAAGCAGCGUCGAUACGCCUUUCUCUCUCCAGCUUUUUCGUCCGGACAUCUGGACUUUGUACGUGCGAUCAAAGGACAAAUAUGCGCCACUUUUACGAGAACCAAGAUAAAGUCACCGCCCGGUGAGAAUAAGGAGCUAGUCGAAGAAUUCCAUUUUUUCUUCCCAUAAUUUCCAUUUGGUGUGCGUUUCGGUGGCGGGAGAGGCCGGUAAGAUUACAUUACGGUUAGGGUGGUGGUAUAAUAAGGUCGCUUGCAUUAGAAAUUCUUACGGAGAAAUUCUAUACGGACGAUGGAUGUGCUGGAAAUGGAUGGGCGAGAUCUAUUUGCGCGGGAAGAACGGCGGAUGUUACACCCGCAUAGGAAAUUCUAUGAAUGCGUGUAGGUGGUUAUUUUCGCGACGUGGCGUAGUGUUUCGACAAAUCGGCGAUCAGGGUCUGGCCCACGUAAUCGGACCGACAGCACCUGGCCCCAAAUUAAAAUAAAGAGUUUUUUCUAACAUAUAUUAUAUAUAAACUCUUACAUAUAUAAAAUUAUAUAAAUAUUCUCCAUGUAUUUUUUUAUAUAUAUUUGUAUCAUCUAAUAUUGUUAAAAAAUAAACGGAUUAAAACUAAAAUAACUAAAAAAUUUUAUAGAUGAUAUGCAAAAAGAAAUAUAAGAGUAUACACUCAAAUAGCGACUUUUAUAAAAAUAUUCAUUUAAUUUUCUAUAUUUGAAGGAUAUAAAUUCAAAAAAAUUCAUAAGAAAAAUCAAAACUCGGUUGGAACUUUCUAAGUCUUUUAUAAUUCAAUUGGAUUGGCAAAUCAAAAAAAAAUUAAGCCACGUUGUUAAUUUUCUUUUCUAAGAUCAUGACUCGGUCAAGUUCGAAUAUUAAGUGAUCAUUUUGGUAAUUUUAUUCUCUAUUUGAUUUUAAUAUGAUUAUCAUUAUUGAAUCUAUGACAUCUAUAUAUUCUUCAUUCUUUUUAAAAAAUAAUAUAUAUUAAAUUUAAAUUAAAUAUGAAUGCUUAGAUUGGUAAAAUAUUUUUAGUGAUUUGUAAAUAUUGAGCUUUUGAGGCAAGAAUUUCGUGAAAGCAAUAUGAUUCAUUUUGUAAGAUUUGAUAUUAACAUAAGAUUAUGUGAUAUAAUAAUAUCAAUCUUUUUUUAUGACUCUUUCUAUUAAGAAAUAACUGAAUUAUUUUUUCUAAACUUUAAUGAUUUUUAUUAAAUUUUUUUUAAGCAUAUACCCUUCUAAAUAUGCGUAAUUGCACGAAUACCCUUACAAAUUGCUAUUCGAAUGUGUAACCUUAUAAAGUUUUCUUUUUACACGUCUACCUAUAAGAAUAUUUUAGUUAUUUCAAAUUUAAAUCGUUUAUUUUUUAAUAAUACUAUAUUGUAUAAGUAUAUAUAUAUAUAUAAAUAUACGUAUAAAAUAAAUAUUUUAUUAAAAUAUACAUCUAAAUAAUAAUUUUAUAAAAACUAUUUAUAUAAUUUUUUAUAUUUUAGAGGAUAUAUAUGCAAUAAGCCUCAGGUCAGGUCAACAAUAGAGUGGGAGAGAGGGAAGCCGAGCAGAACGCUCGCUGGAAUCUUCGUAUCUCUCUCUUCCGAACGCCAGCAGACGAAACAGUGGAUGAAGGGAGAGCAGAGAGGAAACAGUUCCAAUACUUCUCUCUCCAGAGUCCAGAUUAGAAAUCCCGCAUCAUCACAUAAUUAGUAGCCCUCCCCGUGCUUCUCUCGCCGAUUUAUCCUCGGAUUCUUCUCGUUCUUGGAGAUUCCCGUCUCGCCUUCUGCUCUCGGAUCGCCGCACUAGAGUUUCCGUGAGGUGUAGCCUUCAGAUCCGCCAUCGUCGUAUUCUCCUGCCGGGUUGAUUCCUGGAUCCGUGUUUCUGGAGUUCUUUUCUUGAUUUUAUUAGUUCGGCUGUGGAACUCGUUUCUUGUUGCUUUGGAUCCGGGAAAUCGGAAUCUAGGGUGCAGUUUCUUGAUUUCGAGGGGUUUUUGAACGGUUUGGGAGAAAGACUUGAGGAGUUACAAGAUUCGGUGCGGUUCUAGUGGAUCUUUGAGGGGUUACUGGGAUUUACUAAGGGUUUCGUUUUCGGGAGAGGAUUUAUUCGCGGAUUCGAAUGACGGUUGAGUCAAUGCAGGUCGCGAGCCUCUCCUUUGAAAGGAUUUUGCGGUUCCUUUAAACUGGAAGAUUUUCCGGGUCCUUUGAACUGAAAGCUUCUGAUGAGGUACCAGCCGUUCUCUUAUCUAAUCUUGGAAUUAUAGAUGUAAUAUUCAGAUCUGAUGAUCAAAAAAAGAAAGAAAAAAGAUGAGAAAAUAGUUUGUAGAUUAUUCUUUAGUUACUGGCACUGAUCAGCUGUCGAAUUUUCCUUGUUUGCAGAGCCUUGUUUGGAUCUUUGCUGCACUCUAGGACCCCUCAGUGAUACUGAUAUGUAAGAUAGUUCUAUCUUUUUUCCUGGUUUUUAAAUCAGAAUAACAACAUUAGCGGGGAGACGGUGUUUUUGCGAUUCAGUAUGGACUUUUACUAACAGUAUCAGUUGCAGUUUUCGUCUUUUCAAGUCUGAGAUCUCGAAAAUGUCAGGUAUGUUUAUUUAGUUUUUCCUCCCUCGACUCUGUAGAAUAGUCAUAUAAAAGCAGUGAUUUGAUUGUUUUUUUCUGAACGAUUGAUCGUGCAUUGCGGCAUUGCAGUCUGCCACGCAGAAGGAUUUGAAGGAUCGGUUAGUUGUGAUGAGAGAAAGGAGAGGAGAUCAGAUGUGGAGAUCUCGGAAGACGAAAGAAGGAGAACAAAGAUCGGGUCUCUGAAGAAGAAGGCUUUGAAUGCUUCCACUAAGUUUACUCAUUCUCUUAAGAAAAGAGGGAAACGGAAAGUCUAUUUCAGGGUGCCUUCUGUUGCUAUCGAGGACAUAAGGGAUGCUGAAGAGGAGCGCGCAGUCUAUGCUUUCCGGCAAGAGCUUGUUGCCAAGGAUUUAUUGCCUGAUAAACAUGAUGACUAUCACACAUUGCUCAGGUUAGCAAUGAUGUUUAAGAUUUUCUUUGCGUUCUGUUUUCAUAAUUCAAUCAUCUGCUAUACCUGAAGCUGUGUAAUGUUUGUUAUUAUAUCUUGUAAAAUUUUAAGUUCUAAGCAUGCGUUUAAGCUAUACCUAUGGUGGCUAAUUAUUCCGUUCAUUUUGUGCAGGUUUCUCAAGGCUAGGAAAUUUGACUUUGAGAAAACGACCCAUAUGUGGGCUGAGAUGCUUAGAUGGAGAAAAGAGUUUGGAGCAGACAACAUUUUGGAGGUGAGGCAACUAUCACAUACUGCAGAGCACUUCUACAUGCAUUAAGGAAACAGUUUAAAGAUUUGGGAGGCAUAGUGAGUCUUAUCAGAUAAUGAUAUGAUAACAACAAGAUUAUGGGAGUCUGAGUCUUUAUAAAAGUAUAUGUAUCUUUAUUGCAAAAUAUGGAAAGUGAAUAAUCUAGAUGUGAGUAGUUCACUGUGUGACAGAUUUAACAGUCUAGUGCAAUCUUUGCCAAUUAUAAGAAGCUCUAUUUUCUAUUUGUUUUCAAAUUUAUCAGGGUAUUAUGGUUCAUUUCGAUCUGUCCUCUCUGAAUGGUCUUUGAGGAUGUAUAUCUCUUUAGAGGUACAGUUAAGAACUUCUUUCUAUAAUGUGUUAUUUUCACACAUUUACAUCCUUAGUUUUAGCUAAUCUUUUUAUUAUAGCGGGCUAAUUCCAGCAUAAAAAUGUUUUCACAAUUUAUAAUGCUUGUUGUUCUGAAUAUGUUACUUCCUUAAUUACAAUUUGCUUUUGUUAUCUCGAAGCCAUUCUUAAUCCUUAAUUUACAUAUGGCAUGGUAAUGACAAUCAAAUGUACUGGAUUCAAGGAUUUUGCCUUUGAAGAACUGGAGGAAGUCCUGUGCUAUUAUCCCCAAGGAUACCAUGGAGUGGACAGGCAGGGAAGACCUGUAUAUAUUGAGAGGCUCGGAAAAGUUGAGCCGAACAAGCUUACUCACAUUACCACCGUCGAGCGCUACAUAAAAUAUCACGUACAGGAAUUUGAGAAGGCCCUGCAUGAGAAAUUUCCUGCUUGCUCAAUUGCUGCCAAAAGACACAUUGAUUCGACAACUACAAUACUGGAUGUGCAUGGUGUGGUAAGAUGGCACCUCUGCUUUUUUUUUUUCUUUCUUUUUCUCUAUUUUUUUAAUCUGUUUACUGUAUUAUUGAUGCUAAUAUGGUUACAAGGGUUUAUCUCUUUUAAAUGAGAAACAGAAAAGAUUUCCCAUAUCAUAUUUUGCUUUCUGGUGAUCUUCUUUAGUCACCGAGGAAGCCACUCUGAUAUAGAGUUGUCCUUGUAUUGGUAUUCAGGGAUUGAAGAAUUUCAGCAAGACAGCAAGAGACCUCUUGCACAAUAUGCAGAAAAUAGAUGGUGAUUACUAUCCUGAGGUAUCUACUGUUUUAUGCUAACAUAUUCUUGUCAAGUAGCUCUUGUUUAGUAUUCAUAGGAGGGUUGCUCAAACGUUCAUGUAUGCAGACACUACAUCAAAUGUUCAUUGUAAAUGCUGGUCAUGGUUUCAAGCUGCUUUGGAACACUGUAAAGGGAUUUCUUGACCCCAAAACUACAGCAAAGAUACAUGUAAAGAUCCAUGCUUCUGAAGUAAAUAUGUGGGUUUCUCCCCGAUUUCUUCAGCUUUGAUUCAUGGUUUAUUUAAUAUGCACAGGUACUGGGGAGCAAAUAUCAGAGCAGGCUUCUUGAAGCUAUUGAUGCAAGGUUGGUUUGUUUUAUCUAUGCUAGCUCUGAUGCUAUCAAUUGUUUCCUUUAUAUUCUCUAGCUGCUGUAAAUCAGAUUUUCCACCCUGGUUUUUCCUUCAGCCAACUGCCAGACUUCCUGGGUGGCUCAUGCACAUGCUGUGAUGAAGGUGGAUGUCUUAGAUCUAAUAAAGGACCAUGGAAUGACCCUGUCAUUAUGAAGGUAGGACAUGUCAUGCAGUAACAGGCCAACCAUGUUAUAUUAUAUCAGAUCACAAUUUCUUUAUAUUACAUCCUUAAUCAAAUAUACAGAGUCCGUUGAUCAACCAAGAGCAUGAAGUGCACUGAUAUGAUUUACGAUUUUUACCUGUAGCUUGUACAUUGUGUUGAAGCAGCAUUUGUGAGGGAAAUUAGGCGAGUAUCUGAUGGAGAACAAAGAAAUGCUCCCUGUCCUAGGCUACGUCCACUGAAGGCAAGACACUGAAUUGUUCAUGGUGUUUAGUAUAGGUUGAUUGUGUAGAUCAAUUAUUCAUCUUUCCUUUUGCAAACUGAAUGGCAGGGAAGAUGUAGUGACACAUCAACAGCUGAAUCAGGAUCAGAUGUUGAUGAUCUUGGUUCUCCUGUUAUAUCCAGAACUGCUGAAUACACUCGAUUGGCUCCAGUUCAAGAGGAAGUGAGUAGUGUGCUUUGAUUUACAUGUGCAAUAUGACCAUAUUUAUGAACCUUGUUUUGUAAUUUUUUGACUAUGCAUGAAGAUGUGUUAUAGUUAUGAUGUGGAUCUGAAGUGCCAAGAUGGAUAUCUCCUAUAAUAUUUAAGCUUACAAACGAGAUUUGAAGUGGAUACCAUAUUAAGGUAUAUUAUGAUGCUUUCAUCUUUAGGAUACACAGCUUAAUUUGAUUCUGGAUAUGGAGACUAAUGCAGGAUCCUUCAUUAUAAUAUCUUUCAUACUAAAAAGAAAAAAAAAGAAAGAAAACAAACAUCUAUCUAGAAAUUGGACUGAUAAGUGAGUAUUUAUAAGUUCUAUUUCACCUUACCAUUUCAUAAGUUCUUUUUAGAGCUCAUUUUUUUCAACAAACUAAUCCGAUAUUCCUAGGAAGAUUGCCUUCUAAAGGAUUUCGAAAGUUUAAGUUGGAAGUUGAAGCAGGUCCUAGAGAUGGUAACAUAUUUAUUUUGUGUGUUUCUCUGUGAUUUUCUAAAUCUCCACUUUCUAGGUAACAGCCACUCCCUGUAAUGAUAACGUUGAGCUCACUCCCUUGUAAGAAACAGAUAAGAAAAAAAGAAGACCAGAUAAUAAAACUUAUGGAUAUAUGCAAUGGUGAAUCUCAAAACAUAAUGUUGACCUACCAAUAUUAUUUGCUGGAAUUAUAAUAUUCAGAUAUUGACACACUUAUAUUCUACCUGAGCCAUUUCCUUAUUGACUUCAUAUAUACUAUGACAAUAUAUGAAGGAAAAAUUAGUCAUUUCUUUAAAGGCCUGUUUAGAUGACAGAAGAUCUUAUUGGCCUGAUAAGAUCUUCCUAUGGAGGGACUUUAUCGUGAAAAUACAGUGAAGUGGACCCGGUCCAAUAGAUUGGAGAAGCAAUGGAACACCUAAUUGCUAUUAUCUAGGGAUAAGGUAAAUCACCUGGAGAAUGGAAUCCAUUAUCCCUGAAAAACAAGGAUUAGCUAUCACCUGGCACUGUGAUCUCUUGGAGCCAUCCCAACUUAGCCGUACUUUUAAAAUGAACACAACCGGCCAGAAGAUCUUACUAGACUGAUAAGAUCUUCUGGCAUCAAAACAACCCCCAAAUCCUUGAAUUAUUCUGUUCAGUCAUACUCAGUUCCCAUUCUUGCUCAUUCACUAACAUGUAAUUCACUUAGGCUGAUUUGGAAGUGGAAUAAGAGGGAGUAAAAGCCAUUUAAGUUAGUUAAUCCACCCUUUUUCAGCCAAACACUUGGGUAAACCAUGUCUUCAGAAGGGCAAAAAGUUAUUUCUGAAAAGUUGGUACCCAAUAAAAGAGGGGUAAUUUAUUCUGGAGCAAAGAGGAGUAGGAGUAAGUUAACCCAUUUACACUGGUUAACUUAUUCCACUUCCAAAUGCAGCCUUAACGUUAAAAGAGGGUGCUGGGCGGAGUGGGUCCAAAUGUCCAAUAAACAACUUAAUACUAUUUGCUUUAUAUAUGCUUUGUUGAAUGCUGAAUUUUGUUGUAUCUAUUGGAAAGCAUGACUUUCCGUUUUUCACUGUUCUAGAUUCCCUAAAGUGUUACUUUAUCAUAUUUAUAUGCCUAUUACUUUUUCCUUUUAGGGUCUGUAUUAUUGCCUCACCAAUAUAUCCAUGAUAUAUCUCUCAUGGGAUUCAGAUCUGAAUUUCUUUUUAAAUUUUGGGAUACUAUCAAAAAGAUGAUUCUUUUGUCCAUCUUGAAAAAUCUUUAAACUAUGGCAUCAAAGGCCUUCUUAUUCCUUUCUUCUUCCUCUCCACCUGUCUCCUCCCUUCAGCUGGUUCGCACUGACGUUCCUGAUAUAAUUGACAUGACAUCCAUGAUCCACAGUUCCAUACUGCCCAUUAAUUAUCUUUACAAUCUAAACCCCUACUUUUGUCCUCGGUAGUUUGUGCUACGUGGUAAAGAUGCUAAUCAUCAUAUUUCAUUAAACUGGCAUUCUGACAUUAAUGAUAUAAUUGCAUGUAUAUGCUUAUCUUCAUGUGCAGUUGCAGUAAUAGUUACUAAUCAUUAUGAUGCAGUAUUUUUUGUUCUUUCUAGUAGAUGUUAAAUGUAUCUUUUUUCAUUAUUGUGAUAUAGUUCAGGGCGACAGAUUCUACAUCUUACUACAAUUGCAAUCGUGACUUCAAGAUGAUUGAUAAAGCUGUAGACUGCAGAAGGGGAGCAGGAUCUGCUUGUAAUGCAUCUAAAGAACACAAGGAUCAUGGGUGUACCUUUGCCAAUGGAACAUCACAUUCACUAGGUACUGAUAAUAAGAUCUACUCCCGCAUAAUUUGUUAGUCAACCCUGCUCUCUAAGUUCCUUUCUUGCCAUCCUCUGAAAGUUCUCUUUUACUAGAAACGAAAAUUUACUACUGCUUCAGUUGAUUGUUUCUGCAAUUAUGUUGCACUAGAGCCUAAUAAGCAGCUUGUCUAAGUCCUAAGCCAGUGAUUUUUUCAUUGUUGGGAACAUUAUAGACUAUGAUUUGCUCCACACAUCUUUUGGUAUCUUUGCAUGUUGGUAUUUUUGACAACUUUCAUGUCCCAUCAUGAAGUAUUUGUGGCAGCCUGGUUUUGUUACAAGAGAAGCUGCUUAAUCAUGACAAUUUUAGCGUUGGAAUAUAGCAGUUGAUAAUCUUUUAGAACUAUAAGUGCUCAGAAUGGCCCAUGCUUGAUUCCAUUAUAGUGAAUUCCAAUGGUGAUAAAAUAAAUAUGAUGUAGGUUUGGAUGUGUUUUUAUUGUUCUGCUACUUGUUUUUUUUCCCUGGCAAACUGAAAUUGUUAGCGAAGUUCUGCAAUUUGUCAAAUUAUUACCGCAAUUCCCUAAUUGUAGAAGGAAUUGAACUACUUUUUAAUUUUCUUGGUUCUUUAUUGCUGUAUUUGCUUAUGUUUAUCUACAUAUGGAUCACUGUCAUUGUUGCCUGUUACAUCUUCUGUUGGUACUAAGUUAAUUGCAUGUAUAUAUACACUUUGCUCUGGCAGUUUGGGCCAGCUAUACAAAUCCUACUUUAAUCAUCUUUUCAUAACUAUGGCUGUCUUCUAAAAUGGAAGUUGCUCAUCAUUUCUCAUUACUACUAUUUCCCAGUAUUCUCCAAUCACCUUUCCGACCCUUUAGUCUAUUGAUUCCUCAUUGCAGAUGUCCAAAGGCCUGCACGUUAAAGUUGAGGCACAAUGAGAACAUUGCCAAAUAUAUUAAAAGAAUAUAUUCAAGUCUGCGAUGUGUGAAAUUUUACAUCCAAAAUGCAGUUGCAAGAAAGUGACUAGAAUAAAAUAUCAUGAAUUAAAAUCUACAUUACAAAGGCAACAAGGGUCGCUUUUAGGGAACUGCAUUAACAUAAAUUUUUCACCUUUUAGUGCCUUUGAGUUCUCAUGUUGCUUUAAAACCAGUUGAAACUUGUAGAAUUACUAUAAUUUAUGAAAGGAGUGGCGAUGGCAGUUUGGUUAGAUAAUAGGCUGUUUAGUAUGUUUUGGUGAGAUGUUUAAUAAAAUAUUUUCCUGUAGAUUAUAAAGUGUCUCUUCUUUAGUUUUUGUGCUACCAAGAUCCUUUGAAUUUUCAAAUGGGGAAUUUUGAUGUAUCUCUUACGGUUUCAGGUAACUUGGGCACUGAUCUGUGCAAACACACCAAGGAAGAUUCAGAGGAAGGAAAUAUAAGAUAUCUUGCAAGAGCACUAGUCGCAUUUUUGGUUAAACUGCUACCCUUCUUUCGUUUCUUUGGUUGUAGACAAGAAAGGAGGUUGGAGAACAUUCAUCCAUCAGAUGCAUUGGUCCUUACUCCAGAUAACCAUCCGAGUGUGGAAGCUGUCAAGGAAGACCAUGUCAGUCCUUGUUUAGAACGCCUUCAGAGGCUCGAGUUGAUGUGCAAUGAACUCAGUAGCAAGCCUGCAGAGAUUCCACAGGAAAAAGACCGUGCACUCCUUGAUUCUUGGGACAGGAUAAAGUCCAUUGAGUUUGACCUUGGGAAGACGAAGAAGGUAAUCUUUUAUUGUAUAUUUAAUGGUUUUUUGUGUUCUAAGGUGAGUCAAACAGCAUGCAGUAAGUUAGAAAGAGUAUCAUAUUAAAGUUCAGCUAUAUCAUAAAAGGAAGCACUUAAUAUUUUGAGUGUGGUUCCUGAUCUGGAUUAACAACAACGGCAAUAUUUGAUGCUUUUAAUGAAUAUUCGUGCUGGAGCAUCACUAUUCCAUCAAAGCUUCACUUCAGAAAGUUAGCUUUUAUCUAACUUGGACACUGUUAUCAUUACUGGGGAUGCAUCUCCAUGAUGUUGAGUGGCAUCAUUUUUCUCCCCUAUUUUUUUUUUGUUUGUAUUACUUCUUCAGGAAAUUUGUAUACUAUAAGCAAUUGGCCCAAAAAAGAUCCAGAGUUGUAUAUAUGUGUAACAUAUUUAUGUAUAAUUAAGAAAUUUUAUCCCAUUUAUAUCGUUUUAUUGUUCAUUUUUCUUAUAUAUUUUCUCUGAGAUAAUGCUUUUUGAUAGAUUGUGAUCACAUGUUCUUUUAGGUAUUGCAGGCCACAGUGGUGAAGCAAAUGGAGAUUGCAGAAAUGUUAGAAGCUGUACAGGAGUCCAAUCUCAGGGUAUGCUGAAAAAACCAUUUACCAUCAAACUGUUGAGUUCAUCCACAUCUUUGUGAACAACCUAACUAUAGAUUUUUUUAAAAGAAACCUUUGGUUUGUCUCACUUCUUUUGACUAAAUUAAAGCUAAACCUAAAACGAGCAUUGAAUACAUGAUGUCUCUGAUUGUGUAGAUCUUGGAGAAAUAUUUUGUUACCUUAGGAUUUUUAAUAUACCAUUGAUCCUGAUUCUCAUGAACUGGGUCAUAUUUGCCACACUUCAAAUUCUACGUUUCUAAAUAUGUCAGGUACUUAAGACACUUCAAAUCUUUUAAUGAUUGCACCAUCAUCCUGUGCUAGCGCUUAGCUUGCCUAGUUUAUUUUAUCAAAUUAUGGAGACGUUGGUUUAAAUCAUAUCUACAAAUUUUCACUAGUAUAGGUCUCCAAAAGUCAGAGAGACCAGAUUGAUAAUACUCAUCUCUUUAUUUUGUUUAUUACUGAGUCUAUGUUUCCGUUUAUCUUGUCUGCUACUGUUGUCAAAUUGCAAUCAUGGUCUGCACCAUUUUGGAUCUAACUGGUACAUCUUGCUUGCAUCGUUGUUUGCAGAGAAGGAAGUUUUGUUAAAACCUAAAGAGAGAGUGGCUGUACAUGGUUGAGAAGCGUAGCUUUGGCGUCAGAUUAGCAUUGAAAGAAUACUUCCUGCUAUACAGUUUUCUUUCUUUCUUUCUUUCUUUCUUUUGGUCCGUGAUGAGAUUUGUCACGUUUACGAACUGUUAUGAGCGUGCUACAUGCAGCAUCAUGGAAAAGCCGAGAUGGUGGAUGAGGGAAAAAGGAAAAACAAAAAGGAAAGUUAAUAUAUAGUUUUUCUUUGUUUUGUUAUGAAAUGGCGUCUCUCGCUCUACCUCUAAACCUGAGCCCUUGUCCACCAGUUCUAGUGUGGCUUCAUGGGUUGUUAGGGAUCUAGUUUUGGAGUUUGCUCCACCAUCCAGAUAUUUGUCCUUUGAGCGGCCUCAUCGAAUUUUAUCAUUCUUAAAGGUUUAUGAGGCUUUAAGCUGCUGCACAGGAGAUGACGCCAAAGCAUCUGGAGCCUGGGGCGGGCAUCAUUUGAACGGGAAUAAAAGAAGUCUGUCUCAAGUGGGACCAAAUUCGAUCAUGGUCGUUCACUAUUUUGUUAAUAAUUCCAUCUCAUCAAUUGCAGAAGAAAACAUUCGGACUGCAUCACAUAAAAACCAAGGUACCUACCUUGGGAUCUAUAUGUUUUGGAGAAUGGAUAAAUAGAGUAGUUCCUUUUUUUUUUUUAAAUUGACUCGGAGAGGACAAGUAUUUAGCUGGAUCCUAAGGAAGGUGUAACGGGAGUGAAUUAUUGAUUACUUGCAAGGAUUAUCUGCAUUGCAAUCUUGAUUUUGGUUGGAUCAAAAUGACAAUCUUAUAAAUUGCAACCAUGACUGAUGGAUGUCCACCGUUCCGAUCUAAUUAAAGAUUUCUAAUUAUUUGUCAACCUAUAUACUCAUGCUGCUUGCUGCGUGUCUUGCUGCUCUUAGAAGGGCGUUAUAAAUCGAAGGCAGUAUUUACCAAGAGGGUGAUGGAUUAAGAUGGAGCAUGUAUAGUGGUGGCAGGUGGAUGAAGGUGGUAGAUGAAGUCAUGAAGAGCCCUCAUUAUAUUACUGCCUGGCUAACCAGCAGCUUGGCCUGCAGAAGUCCCUAUUGCUCGACAAUUUGGUGUUAAUUGAGUUGCCUCUACCCUAACCUUAGCGCCCUUGAUUUUAGAGUUACGAAUACGCAAACAGAUAAUUUCCGCCAACACAACUGGCACUACCAGGUGACAUAUCUAGGCUGUCCUGCUGACAUACAUGGAUGGUUCACGUCCCUCGAAGAACACUUGAAAACCGUAUGUGAGACUAUACUUAAAAAAGUCAAAUUCAUGAAGUCAUAUUUGAAAAGGUUGGGGCUUAAUGUUUAUAUACCUUUUGGAAAUUUUGUUGUAUUUUCUUUCACCAUCCAAACAGCUGAAAAUUCAAUUUGAAAUAUUUUAUAUUCUUUGGGUCCUUCUCCAAGCAAUCGGAGAGACUGAAGUUACAGCGGACCAAAAAGAUUCUAGUUACAGCAUCAAUCGAAUAUUUUGUGCGCUUGAAUUGGUCACACUCAUCCCGAGUAAUGGAAAUGAGUGAUGAGAGUUCUGGGCUCCUCCCCCGAUGCCUGGUCAGGCCGUCGUUGGCAUGAAGGCGAUUGUCUCCGAAAGCUGUGAUGUGAUCUGGAGAUCAUGUAUAAUCCACUUCGAUUGGGCCCUUGCUCAAGAAUAGUGCAGCCACAAAGCCCAAGGAUUAUCGGCCCAUUAGCCUCGGUAACACGCUAUAUAAAUUAGUGACAAAAUUUUGGUGAAUAGGAUGAAACGCCUUAUGCCUUCUUCAGCAUCAGAGGAAUAAGGUGCUUUUGUGUUUGGCAGAAAUAUUUCAUAGAAUGUGUUCGUGGCUUGGAAACUAUGCAUUCCUGAUUUUAUGCUCCAAAAACCAAAGCCUUUAUGGUAAUAUCUGCACCAGCAAUAUUGUCUAUUUUUUUUCCUACAACUUUUAGGUCGCAUGUUCUUCCUUCACUUCGGCCUCCAUAGUUAUCCUAAUCUCCUUCUGUUAAAUUUGAAUCCAAUGGGGGUUCGAGGAUGUCUCUUGUCUCCUUUAUCUUUUAAAGGAACUUGUUAGCACUGGAUCGCUCAAAGGGUAUUAGCUGACUGCCAAUUGGUCCUGUAUCUUCGCACCUGCUUUUUUUUUGUUUUGCAGACGGCUGCUACUUUGUUGCUAAUGAAAGGAAUUGUUAGAUUUUAAAAAAGAUCAUGAUGGAUUACUGUUCACAGUCUGGUUUGGCGUCAACUAAAUAAAUCUCAUGUCCAGUUUAGUCGCACAUCACGUUUUGAUUUGCAGCAUUUAUUAGUUCCGAUCUGGGGAUUCAGGUUAAAUCUGUUGUUUGAAGUAUUAGGGUAUCCCCAUAUCUAGAUCUAAACCUAACAGACAGACUUAGCUCCAACAAAAUUGAACGCCAUACUAGAGGGUGGAAAAGGAAGGCAUUGUCCUUUGCUGGUAGAGGCAGUGAAAUUUGUGUGACCGUUCAAAAGGAAUGGGAUCCGAGGUCGUAACUCCAGACUCUUUGUAGUUAGGACGUCAAAUAUUCGACGUAACUGCCAUCGAAGCAUAGCUGAGAGCUGUAUGAAAGGGCAUCACCUAUGGGAGGCUAGUUCUGGGUGGAACAACGUUUUCCUUGAUGAGGACUUGACUGUGGUGAUCGAGUGGAUUCAAGGCCAGCACAAAUAUGAUAACGGACAACUGUUGCUUCAAAUAUACAUAGGCUAUAGAGAGGAUGUGGCUCCGUCCGGGCCAUUUAUGUCUAUUGGGAUGCAAAUGGUAUUGCUGACUGGGUUGCCUCCUAUGCUGUACAAUAUUCAGAAGGAAUCCUUUAGAAGAAUCACGAGUCUGUUCCAUUUUCUCUUCUUCAACUUCUUCUUUUUAAUCUUACUGGUUGUACUCAUGUACGAUCAAUGUGAGUCACCGUUGUGUCGGAAAAAAAAAAAAAAAAAGUCCAGAAAGCUAAUCAUACAUUCCUUCUGAUAUUGCUGAAGCCUUCAUUCGGAUACAUAUUCCUUUGAACUCUUAUCCAGCCAGAUUAUGUUGGGGAAAUGACAAAUCUAGUCAAACUUCCAAAAGUCUCUAAAUAUUUCUCUGACUGAGGUACUAACUAUCUAUUGAAUCCAAGGUCUUCUCUAAUAUUUGGAAGAGCAAGGUGGCACCUAGAGUCCGUUGUUUUUGCUGGCAACUCUGGUGGAAUCGAAUCCCAUGCAAGCAAAGCCUAGCUAGGAAAUGUCUGUCACACAAUGAACACAUCUAUUAUAAACUCUAUCUUGACCGGGUGGAGGAUGUCGAUCAUGUCGUUGUUCUCCGCCCUUUUGCAAGCUUUGUUCGAGCAUACUUUAUGGACCACCAACUUUGUUAACGUGUGUAACCUGUAAUAUUAAUAGAGUUGUUAUCGUACUCAAUAUCUGUUAUAUUUAAGCUUUUAUAUAUAUACCCUGUAUAUAUUAUUGUGUUCAAGCACUUUAUACAACAAUCAGAAUUAUGGAAAUUUUUCCUUCUACUUCUUCCCUUGUUUUAGCAAAACUCCGCAGCCACUUUUCAUUAGCAGAUGAUCCACUGAGUUUAAUAUCUAAUUCUCUGACAAAGGAUUCUUGCUCUACAGUGCUCUACGCUGGAUGGUCCAUGUGCAGUGGUAGGAAUGAAAGAGUUUUCCGAGGAAAAUUUUGCGUCUUAAAUAAAAUGUAAUCGUAUUGUUACCCUCCAACAAAUAUAUUUUCCUUAUAAAUUAUAUACAUCAUGUACUCUAUGUUAUACACCGCCUGUCUGUGAUGGAAUUGAAAUCCUCCGUAACACUCCAUACUCUUGUCAAUGAAUUCUUCUAAGGAAACCAUUAUCACAUUUACAUAUUGUCCAACGUUUUAGCAGUUGAUGGGAACAUGUUUGCAAAAGAAAUGAUGUUUAUCUAUUUAUCAGUGUAAUUUUCGAGGAACAUGCUAUUGUUGUCUAUCAAAAUCUCUCUUCUCUGGGAUCACUCAUGUGCAUCUUGUAUCUCAUGCAAAGAAUCCAAAAUGGUAUACAUACAUCUCGGAGAGAAACCUUGAUAUACCAAUCAAAAUUCAAUUUAACUUAUAAUCUUUAUAAUUUAUUAUUAUAUACAAAAUUAUAUAACUAUUUAAUUUUACUUUACUUUAAUUCAAUAAAUAAUUUUAUAAAAUUAAUAUAUAUAUAUAUAUAUUAAUUAUAUAAAUAAGUAAUUAAUUUUCUAUAAAUAGUUAGUUAAAAAUAAUGAAUAUAAAUAGAAAAAGAAAAAAUAUCUGAAUUUUGCCGGACAGAUAAUUUUGUUAACGUAGAUAUCCACUCCUUCAUUUUUUAAUAUAAAAUUUAAAAACAAUAAAUUAAUAUAUAGAUUAUUUUUUAUUAAUUUUUUAAAAUUUUAAAAUCAAACAAUUAGUAAAAAUUAUCCACCUUUUCGACUCAUCCGCCCUCCGAUGACGCCAACCACACACUGUUAGCGGCAUCGUGAAAAACUGGUUGACUCCGCUGGUCGACUCCCGCCAUUGGGGAGUUGGAAAAGCGGAGGCGGAGGCCGUGUCGGCUUGACUCCGUCGCGCAAGCGGGUCUACGGUUAGUGGUAUCCUGGAAUACUGGUUGACUCCGAUGAUUGACUCCGGCCAUUGGGAGUUGCAAAAGCGGAGGCGGAGGAUAUGUCGGCUUGACUCGGUUGCGCGAGCGGGUGUUCGCGCUCUCCUCUCUUCUCUUCUCCAUUUUCUUCGCUUGAACAAACCCCAAUUACUCUCUCUCUCUCUCGAUUCUCCGUGGAUUUCGAGUUCUAUCGGGAGAUCGUAGGAGGCGGGGAAACGUCGAAAGAUGUCGUUUGCCUUUUUGGGCGGAGAGAUGGAUUUGUGUCGAAGCGUCUCCUUGCGGGCGGUUCUGUUUAUGUUGUUGGUGGGACUGGCCACUGCUUCUACCUUCAUCUCAGGUACCGAUGCGUUUAAUUUCAAAUUUUUUUGAUUUUUUUUUUUUGAGUUUGCGAGCUGAUUCUUUGUUUUUUUUUAAAAAAAAAUCGUGGUAAUGAUAGAUGCUGUGUUCCAAUAUCAUGGAUCUACGGGCCGGAGUUUGCUGCAGACGAAAUCGAGUAAGAUCAAGUCACAUCGCUCUAUGAUCUGAUUCAAGAUUUUGUUUUUUAUUCCUGAUAUUUUGCUGAUUUAUGGUAUAAAAAUUUGAACUUGGGCGCCAUGGCCGCUGGAAUCACCUGUUUGAACUCAGAAUCAUGCUUUAGAGGGCUUAUUAGAUUUUUUGUCUUGAAGAACUGAUCUUCUUUUUCCCUGUAUCUAUGAGCUAGUUUAAGCUGGCUUGAGGAUAGAUAUUAGAGUGAACUGAGAGAAUUGGAGGAAAGAAAGGUGCAAUUUUCUUACAACAUUGGAAUUUCAAUGGUGAAAAUAUAUAUUAUCCAACCACUCACUGGGAGACAAAUUGAACUCAAGAGAAGGUAAACAAGAUACAGUGAGUCAUUUAACUGAAAAGGAGAUUGGAGCAUCCAACGACGAUGUGAGAUUCUUGUCUGGAAGCAUGACUGAUAGCCAUAUUUUACCAAGAACUGCAUGUCACCCACAGUUUAAGGUGGCAUGUGAGAUGAGAGCCAAGGAGGGAGUGGACGCACAGUUCAAGUUAGUUUAACAUCAUAAUCCAUAAUUUAGCAGCCUAUGUAGUUCUCUCGCAGAGUUGUAGUUCAAAGUGGCGCAGCCUUCGAGUAAAGGGGAGGAGCGAGUGCAAUUACUUGUUUUGCAAUUUUUGUUGAGUAGUUCAAUGGAGCACCAGGGUUGGAGAUUGAGAUAUUCACGGUAGUCUUUUUCGAAACUAUGACUUAAUUUGGCAUACUGCCUAAUUGGUAGGCAGGUUGUUGAGAUAUCAUGCCAGAACCAGUAGAAACGUAAGACACGGCCUUUUGUUUCGGGUUUUGCUGAAUCACUAAAUAGAUUCUAGUUCUGAAAAGGUGAUGACCGAGUGUCAAAAGAAUCUCCACAUGGAGCUUUUGAUCAAGAUAGAUAUGUUAAAGAGUGCAAUUUGCCAUGAACAUCAUUUAAUCCUUUAGUUUCAUCUUUGACCAGACACUACUAAUUGAAUACAACUUUGUCUUCCACAUUGUGAGAUCAGAGAUUGCAAGUGUAUUCAAUUUCGGAGUCUUCAUCCCCAGCUAUUAGUUCAUAUAUGACAAAUCUAAUUAUCCAGGUGGCUUUAUUUUGUCCAUGAAUACAUGUGCUUUGGUUUUACAUAUAUGCGUCCUUAAUGGUACCAUAUGAUGCAAAUGCCCAAUCUCUCAAUUUUGACUUGUUUUCAUGUCAAAUAGUUGUAGAGUGGUUUUUAUAAUAUCUAAGAUCACAUUUUGACAUGUAGUAUGUAUUAUUAAUCAGAAAAUCACUUUCUGUAUCAUACAUAAACCAGACAUGAGUGUGAGAGUUGGUUUGGCAAUAAGUGCUUAUCAACUUUGUUAAGAAAAAAAAAGAGUACUCAUUGUCCUGACAAUUCUUUUAUGCUUAUAGGCAUCAUUAUCAAUUACUGUUAUAAGUACCGUCUGCCACAGUUUACUCAUAUCGCCGCAAACUUGAUCAAUUAAUGACCCAAAAACUUGAGAAUCCAAGAGUUCAUUGAAAAAUCUUAUCUAAGAACUCUGAUUAGUUUAGAAACUUUUCUUUUCAAUUAUUCACUCCAUCUCGAUCAUGUUGGUCCCAAAUAGUUUUCCUAUGUUUAUAUGUCAAUAUGUAUGUAAGAUUACAUAUGUUACUCAAAAUAUUUGUAAUAGAAAUACACACUGGUAAUAUUUUGUUUCGUAAGGCUAACUGAAUGUUCCGGUGAGUUUCACCAUUUUCGGGCAUGAUUAUGCAAUUUCAGGGACAUCAGAGAAUCGACACUUGCAGUUAUGCAAUGACACUUGGAUGAUGCAAUCAAAUAAGUUUUGAUAAAUAAAGUAUGUGUGUUAAGCCAUGCAAUUUGCACAGAAAUAUGAUUGCCUCAAACACAAAUUCAGACGCACCUGCAAAUCCAGAAAACUACAUGACAAUGACAAGAUAGACAGCAUUCUUCAUAAUUUCUAAGUAAAACUUUGCAGAACUAUUGAGUGAGUCGCUAAUCUUAUUAGAAGAUCGUUGUCUGAUGAUGAUAAUGGUUGCUUUUCCCAUGCUGCUACAAUUAUCACCACUAAAAAAUACAGAUGAACAUAGUGAAUGGAAGAUAUCUAUCCUCAAAAAUGAACUGCAACUAUGGAAACUCCUCAUUUAUCUUGGACCAUUUAGCUUUAUAACUAAUACUAAAUCUAAUGUCUUUUGAUAUCCCUGUCAGACUGCCCUGUGAACUUCGAGUUCCAGAAUUACACAGUCGUCACGAGCAAGUGCAAGGGGCCCCAUUAUGCUGUUAACCUCUGCUGUGCUGCUUUCAAGGAAUUUGCAUGCCCAUUUGCUGAGCAAUUGAAUGAUGUCAGCAACAAUUGUGCAUCAGAUCUGUUCUCUUAUCUUAAUGUCCAUGGCAAGUACCCGCCAGGUCUGUUUGCCAGUGAAUGCCACGACACCAAGGAAGGGCUUACAUGUCCUCCUAGCCCUUCAAAGACACCGGAUGACAUUGCAAAUGCUGGUGACAUAAAUCGAAUCCUCACCUUUCUAAUUGUCUUCAUGUCUGGAGUGGUUCUGGCACUCCUAUUCUCUUGAAGUUGGAAGACUUUAUGUUUCUGGGAGCUGCAUUGCUGCAGUCUGUUAUUCGAAUGGAUGAUCUGUGUUAGGAGUUAAGGCGAAUUACUUCGGUGAUGAUGUCGAACAUUUGGUUGUGGGGAGUAUGCGCUAUUUUUCUUUACACAAACUUAUGUAGGUCUGCUAUAGUGUAGUUCUUAAGUUUUUUUUUUUUUGUUACUAUGAGAAGCAAUUAAUCUGCUCCUCAUUCUUAGCAUUUCAGACACCUUAAAAUUGCAAUCUGGCUGGUAAAUGGUGGUCCCAUUUGGAGAAAAGAAAGCUUUGAAUUUGAGUCUUGCAUGGGUUGAGUUUUGUAAGUUUACAGAGACCCACACGGGUGAUCACAAAGUCAUAAUCAUCUCUGUAUUCUGGAAGACUUGCAGACUUUGUAUGAUACGUGAUGCAAUAUGGGCACUGCUUUAAUGGUAAUAAAGCGUAGACUGACUUCUUUGUUUGUUUCAGCAUUUUAAUAUAUGUUUCUCAAACUAUGAGCAUUUUUGUAAUUAGAGUUUAUGAUUUUUUUGAACUCUUAAGUAACAAAAAAGAUCAUGGACAACAUUGAUCAUGGAAAUUAAUGUAUAUGAAAAACAAAAAUAACUAUGCACCCCUUUAAUUUUGAGCCAUAUUUUGUUUCACUUUUAUAUUAUUCUUAAUUAAUAUUCUUCUUUUUUAAUUUUGAUAUAAAGAACAUGGCGAAAAACCAGUCGACAAUUUUUUUAGUGAAACCUUUUCAGUUGUCAUUCGUAUGGGGAUCCUCAUUAAGAAGAAGAAGAAGAAAACUACUUAAUUAGUGCUUGCAGAUUUCGGGAGGAAUCGCUUGCACAAUUUUAUGUGUGCCCAGUCCCAUCACUAAUCUUCUUUUUAGGCUUUUCUUUUCGACGUAAAUUUAGUAACUGUAAGAUAUAUUUUUUACAAAUUAGACUCCAUGCAGGAUUAAUUGUAGAAAGACUAUGCAAUGAUGGUGCAACAUCAUUUCUGAUUCACAUAUGGAGUAAAAUAUGGAAUAGUUUUUGCAAGAAAAUUGACUACUUUUUUUCUCUCCCACCAAACAAGUAAUUUGAUAGUUUGGUUCAAAGCUUUGCAAGUAAAUGACUAACAUAUCGUUUUGAUCAAAGUUCUUAUUUAUGCAUUUAGCCAUUGUGUUUGAAUGAUCAAGCCAAUCGUAUAUAAUGAAUGCUAUGCUCUUUUAAUUGAAUAGCACGAUUAAUAUCACAACUCAAGUUAAUGGAAGGGUGGUAGCGAGUUUUGUCUUCUGUAGACUCAAGUAACACAUCUGUGUAUUCAUGGUAAACUAAUUUAUUAUAAUAAUAUAUGAAGCCUGAAUGGAGCGUCAAAAAUGAAAUCGAGCCAUCCGCUUGUUUGACAUUCCCAAGAAUAAGAAGCACUACUAAUUUAUAGCAUUACUUUUUUUUUUGUGAAAAGAAAGGAGGGGGGAGAGGAAACCUCACCGGUGUAGCAGCCCUCACUGGGCCCUCCUUCUACUAGGAAAUGUUCGAUGCAGGCCACAAGUUCCACGUACCCUCCCCAACCCAUGGGUUCCCUCCUGUAGGUUCCUCACCCACGGGUGAGUGCAUCAUCCAGCGCCACCUCGGUACCAGUAGACCAGUAGCGCUUCCAUCGAAAGAAUCCAGACGUGGGACAUCUGGUUCUCAAAUUUAAUCGACGCCCACGUGUUUCGAACCUGGGCCACCCCAGCGCCACUUCAAUACCAGCGGACCAGUAGCAUUACUUUUCAAGAACAAAUUGGGGAAACAAACACGAUCCUCAGCAAGAUGCUAUUGAACAGUGCUAACUUUAUACCCUUCUAGGUCUUCAAAUGCAUGCAACUCCAACAGUCCUAUCAAAUAAACCAUACUAUUCCAAGAGUUUGUUUAUUCCUUUGCAGAUUGAUCAGCACUACAGAUUAAACUGUGAGAGAGGCCAGCAUAAUUACAGGCUCUAUAAGUUAGCUUUGAUUUGGGAUCUAUGCAGGCGGAUGAAUGAUGGAGUUCGGAUUAUUUUGAAAUCUGUAUGAUGGAUGAUUCAGUAAUGGAUUCGUGCAAAAAAAAAAGUGAAUCCUUUUUUCCCGUCGAAGAUACAGCCCGAUUCCAUCGCAUCCAUGUCUUCAGCUCCUUCGCACACCACCACUCUUGUGCGCACCCACAUUUCCUCCUCCAUCCACUUGCGAGUAAAAUUAAGUUACGAGACUCCCAUCAACCCAAAAUGCAUUUCUCAUUCACUCCAUGUCUCCAACUCCUUCGCACACCACCACUCCUCUGCGCACCUUCCUCUCCUCCAUCCACCUGCGAGUGAAAUUGAGUUACGAGGCUCCUAUCAACCCAAAAUGCAUUUCUUACUAAGUUGUAUGUUUGAAUUUUCAUAAAAUCUUAUUUCUUUGAGAUGCAUAUUUUCGCCAGCAUCAUGCACUAAGGUAAUAUAAUAUUAUAUUUAAAUAGUUUUUCCUCUUUCCUUUUUUUUUUUUUUUGUUACAUACUAACUCUACAAAAUCAUACCAAUCCAUUCAACUUGUUUCCCGACAUAGCUAAACUUGUCACAACUAAAGACUUCACCCAAAAAGGCUAGCCGAAAAAUAUAUUUUUGGGUUUCUUAAUUGUACCUAAGAUUUUCUCGAUGAAUAAUCGAUGUGAGACUAAAUAUAUUUCUACACGGAUUCUUGCAUACUCCUCCUAUUUAAACUCCGACGUCUUCGUUAGCCUAAAAGUAUAAAUUCAUUCAAAUCUAAUCACAAGCAUCACGAUCGUCCGCGGUCAGUCUCAAUAAGCUCGUGCUACAGUAUUUUUUAGCCCUACAUGGGCUAUGGGUUGCUCCACUCUGAUACCAUUUGUCACAACCUAAGAUUUGAUCUAAAAAAUCUAGCUAAAAAUAUAUAUUUGGAUUAUUUAGUUCUGUAUAAAUAUCUAAAAUUUUUUUGGUAAAUAAUCAAAAAAUAAACAUUUGUCAAUGAAAUUUCAAUCAAAAUCUCUCUCUGCGUGCGUGCGUGCGUCUUGGGGUAGAGGCAAGGACAAAAUGACCACCGGUUCACAGCCAAAUUCAGCUAAGACGUAACAUCCAGCAAGGCAACAGUACGGUAGGUUUGGCAAGGUUUCGGUCCAACCAUAUAGCCAAUUCGUCACUCUAUAUAGCUGCAGUUGAUCAAGUUUCGUCAACUUGUAGCUGUAAUAAAGCACGAAAAGGAGGGGAAAAAGAAUCAGGAUAGAACUUCCAGAACAAUUAAUCCAAGAUUUAUAGAGUCUUUUACUUGUGUUGAACAAAUAAAACCAGAUUCAAGGGGAGCAGAGACAAAGCUUUGUCUGAGAAAUAUGAAGUGCUCUCAUUAGUUGAAUGGUCCCAAGAUGACUUGCAAUGCUUAUCUAUCGCCUACCACCCCUAGUAUAAGUUCACACCUCAUAUGUCAUACGAUCAGCUCGAGAUGAUUUAUAGGAAAUGCCUUUGUUGCCAAGGUAUUUUUUUUUUUUUUUUUUGCUUUUUUUUUGCUUAGGCGAUAGGGAAGGGGGGAGGAAGGGGGGAGCCCACCCCCACGUAGUAGCCCCCACCGGGCCUCCACCCCAUCAGGAGAAUGUUCGAUGCAGGCAGAACUGACCGUGUGUUGGGCACGCCAGCCGUUUUUACUCAUAUCCUCCCCACCCGUGGGCCCGGCCCGGUUACUCUUAUGGGCUCCAGCAUGAAUCCUCCGUAUGAAUACGUCACAUCCGGCACCACCGAGGCUAUCAACAGACUAAUAAGCUCUCCCAUCCUACGUGUCCAAACAGGAAGCAUUCGAUCUCCUCAUUUAAUCGACGUCCGCGCAUUUCGAACUCAGACUGCGAGGAUGAAAGUAAAGGCCCAGUUCUAUUGAGCUACCACCUCAGUGGCAAGGAUAUUUCUUUGGCCUUACCAAAAUAGCCUUGCUACUCCAUUGAUUUAUGAUCCAUAUAUUUCCCUCAAAUUAUCAUUUCGCUAAACCUCCAAUUGGCCAUAUAAUAAUCUAUCACUGAAAUAUAGGUUUUGAUGUGGGCCGAUUUUAUGCAUGACUAGAUCUUGCUAUUUCUUUAUAAAAAUUAUUAUAUAUAUAUAUAUAUAUUGUCUUUAAUUGCAUGUCUGCUAAAAUUUUAGAAAUUAAUUGAUAAUUGGCAACCUGUAAUUGAAGGGUUUUAAGUUUUAUUCAUUAGAAUCUCAUAGUUCGAAAUAAGCACAGUAAAAAAAAAGAAUGGCAUCAUGCAUCCAAAUCUUGUCAUAUCUAUGCAAAACAAUAAUAACAAUUAUGAUUAUUUGUUUGCUUUAAAAGGAAAUGUUGGCAUGGUUCCAUCAUUUUAGUAUUAGCAUGUGACUAGAAAAAAGUAUAAAAGAAAGAAAAAAUAGUUUUAAGAUAUUGCAUUGCUUAAUGCAAAAGUUUUAACUAAAGUGUAACAACUGAAUUCAAUUAAUUUGGUCUUUUUCUAGACACAACUUAAUUUUAUCUUGUGGUUAUAAAAUUAAAUCUAUUUCUUUCACAAAAUUAGAAACAAUAUUUUGAACUCCGUAAAUCGUAUAUUUAACCUAAAAAUUUGAAUUUUUAUAGUUCUUUAUUAUGAAUUUUACUCUAUUGGCAUACAACUAAACUAAAUAAUUAUAAUCCAUGAAAACUCAGAACACUCAAUAAUACAAACAUAUUCCCUCUCCGAACUUUGUGAGCUUAGCAUCAAAUCAUUAGCUAAAUGUUAGCUUUAUUCUAUUUUGAUCAUAAGUAGCCAAUACAAUAUACUUGUGACCAGUGAAGAUAGUACUUUGCUGCGGCCUCAAAUAAUGCCCUCCCCCAAACACAGUAAAUUAAUUAGAUUCCUCCAAGAUAUUUUAAAUUAAUGACACAUGAUUUUAUUAUUUUUUAAGAAAAUAAUUUUAUACUUUCAAAUCUGGCUUGUAUUUUGAUCUUCGAUUAGAUAGGCAUAAAAUUUGAUCUCAGAUUCUUUAUAAGGUAAAAAAUUCAUCGCAAAUAAUUCUAAAUUUUAUAAUUCUUAUAAAGCAUACACGUUUUAAAAAUUCAGGAUUCCGUUUAAGAAAAAUGGACAUCAUCAACGGGAUGCACGUGGCGGCAAGAUGAAAUCAAUUUGGUCCUUCAGGCAAAAUACCUAACCCGGCCAUAAUUUACACAGAAGGGUGGUAUUUUCGUAAUUCCGCAUAAAAGAGAGAGGCAUUAUCGCGAACAGCCCAGUAUUUCUAUCCAUAACCUAUGGGUGGUUCUAUAUACACCCCCCCUAUUGCUCAGGACACCCCCCAAAUUAAAAAAUUAAUACUNNNNNNNNNNNNNNNNNNNNNNNNNNNNNNNNNNNNNNNNNNNNNNNNNNNNNNNNNNNNNNNNNNNNNNNNNNNNNNNNNNNNNNNNNNNNNNNNNNNNNNNNNNNNNNNNNNNNNNNNNNNNNNNNNNNNNNNNNNNNNNNNNNNNNNNNNNNNNNNNNNNNNNNNNNNNNNNNNNNNNNNNNNNNNNNNNNNNNNNNNNNNNNNNNNNNNNNNNNNNNNNNNNNNNNNNNNNNNNNNNNNNNNNNNNNNNNNNNNNNNNNNNNNNNNNNNNNNNNNNNNNNNNNNNNNNNNNNNNNNNNNNNNNNNNNNNNNNNNNNNNNNNNNNNNNNNNNNNNNNNNNNNNNNNNNNNNNNNNNNNNNNNNNNNNNNNNNNNNNNNNNNNNNNNNNNNNNNNNNNNNNNNNNNNNNNNNNNNNNNNNNNNNNNNNNNNNNNNNNNNNNNNNNNNNNNNNNNNNNNNNNNNNNNNNNNNNNNNNNNNNNNNNNNNNNNNNNNNNNNNNNNNNNNNNNNNNNNNNNNNNNNNNNNNNNNNNNNNNNNNNNNNNNNNNNNNNNNNNNNNNNNNNNNNNNNNNNNNNNNNNNNNNNNNNNNNNNNNNNNNNNNNNNNNNNNNNNNNNNNNNNNNNNNNNNNNNNNNNNNNNNNNNNNNNNNNNNNNNNNNNNNNNNNNNNNNNNNNNNNNNNNNNNNNNNNNNNNNNNNNNNNNNNNNNNNNNNNNNNNNNNNNNNNNNNNNNNNNNNNNNNNNNNNNNNNNNNNACCCAUAACCUAUCCCUUUUGAGCCGCUUCUGCGAGGGGGCAAGCCUUCGGAAAAGAUUUAAAAAAAAUAAAAGAAAAAAUAAAGAAAAAAACCCAACCCUUAAUCGGCGAUUAGCGGUUCUUUUUAUCUCCUAGAUUUCGUCUGAUUCCGGUUGGAAGGCUUUCGAUUUUUCGGAUUCCUGCCCCUAGAUGAUGCAGAUCCUCGCCUCCACCGAGAUCUGAAGGCUUUCCAACCCUGAAAACAGGUGCGAAACAAUAAAAAAAAAAAGACUUUUGUCUGGAAAUUUCUUUGACCUCAAUUGGUUUUGAUUUGGAUGUCUGUUGAUCUAUCUUUUUGCUUCGGGUCCAUGUUGGUGGUUUUUUUUAUUAUUAUUUAUAACUCUUAAAUUUACGGUCUUUUGUUUUCCAAGGAUGUUUUUUCUUGUUCCUUUGACUUCUUGCCGACUUUGAUUUUUGGUUAUUUUCUGAUAUUUUAUUUUUUAAAAGAGAAAAGGUUGGACUUGUUACUUCGGGGUUGCGGCAUAAUUUAGAGUUUAUAUCUUAUUUAGAUUUGGAAUUAUGGUAAAAAAAACCUCAUUUUGUUGGAAUCUCUAGGUGUCUUUAGUUACUUAUGGAUUUAUCAGAGCAAUCCGGGAUAAAGAUCUGAAAUUUAUGCAUAUAAGGUGUUGUUCCUUCUAAUUUCAUGAUACUGAAUUAUCGUUUCAGAGGUUGGCGAUUUACUUGUGAAAUAAAUAGGUGAAAAUUUAGUUUUUUUUUUCAAGUCUGUUUUUCUCCUCUGAAUGGUGUAUUAUGCAGCUUAUGUGUGCAUGUGUUUGGUUUCUAUCAUGGGGCUAAAGAUAUCAUUUUGUCUAGAUCGUUUCUCUCUGUGGCCUAGGUUUGGUUAGUAAAACAUAAAUGUAUUGCUCUUGGUUUUGUCUAUUUGGACUUUAUGUUGAUGUUAUAUUAUUAGUCUGAUGCUUGGGCGAUUUGCUGUUUGUCAAUCCAUUUGUGACAAGGGAAGGUGUUAAGAUAGUUGAACUAAUGAUCUGUCCAAGAUCAAGCAUUGGGGAAAAGUAUUUGUUAGGUGCCAGUUGUGCAACUUUCCAAUUUUUCAAAGUGAGAAAAUUCUAUGAUAAAUGUUAAUUAGCAUUUCAUGCAUAAAGCAUGUGCAUGAUCUUUCUGUUAAGUGUAUGAAUGAUGUAGAAUGCAUGCCAUUCUCUUUUGAUUCUAAUGUAAAUGUACACCAAUUUUGGCGAUUCCCUCACCGUAGGCAGAAUAACUGAGAAACAAUUGUAGUACAUGCCAAAAGGGCUUCCUUUGUCAGUUUUCAUUAUCAUUUCACAUCGAAGAAAGAAAGAUGAGUGUUGUUGAUCAUGAUGUCACAUGAAACCUUUCAUUUUUAAACAUGGUAGAUAAGAACCUAUUAGGUAGAACAUAAUAUUUUUUUUGUGCUUGGUAGAGAAUUCUUUUUGGUAUGUCUGGUAUUUCCUAUUGGAUUUUGUUUCUUAUAUUGCUGCUGUUUCACUUUUAACUUUAUGCAUAUCGGAGAGCACAUCUGAACUGCCCUUGCAACUGUUUGCCCCUAGCUGACCUUAACUUGUUUUGGAUGCACAGGCAUAAAUUUUUUAAGUCAAAUAUGUCUCGGUACCAAGGUGAUGAUGUUGAUGAAAUGGCAGAGGAUUAUGAAAUGGGGGAUGCAGAGGAUGACAUGGAUGAAGAAUUUCAAGGAAGAGGGUUGUGGGAUUCAGAUUCUGAUGAUGAAGAAUAUGGUCAAUCUGUACGCAUUUCCUUAUACUAACAUGUUUUUCAUCAAACUACCGGAAUUACUGUCUUUUUUUUAAUGUUUUAGGUGACAUGCCGCUAUGCUUUUCAUUGGUACAGGAUUUAUAAUUCUCGAACAACUUUCUCAUUUCUCGUUUCUGUUAUCUGUACUUGUUAAUGUAUCAUGCUCUCAAUACACUAAAAGAAAGAUAUCUUAUUUUAUCCAGCAUAGUAAGGUAACUGACAUUUCAUCAGCACAAGCAAGGAAAGGAGUGGAUAUCCAAGGAAUACCUUGGAAUAGGUCAAGCAUUACAAGGGAGAAGUACAGACAAACCACAUUAGAACAAUACAAGAAUUAUGAAAACAUUCCAAAUUCCGGUGAAGCAUCAGAAAAUGUACAAUAGCUACACAAGUCUGGGUUAGUUACAUCACUCGCUCGUUACAUUUUUUUGAACAUCCUUUUUGUGUACCCAGGUUUGCAAACCAACUGAGAAAGGAGGAAUGUAUUAUGAUUUCCAACAUAAUACAAGAUCAGUGAAAUCAACUAUCCAUCAUUUUCAGGUAAGCAAAUAAAGUUCCUAAAUAGGUUUAUACCUUAAGUCUUAUUCUUUAAUGACCUACAAUUUGUUUGUUCAUUCCUUGCUGCAAUAUCUUAUUUUAUGUACUGCGGUGCUAUUUUGUAUUGUUUUAAGAUGUUUUCAUAUCUUUUAAUCAUGGUUUCUAUUUUGUAUGAAGGCUUGAAUUAGUCAAUGUCAACGAUUUGUUGAGAUAAUGAUAACUUAGCUCAAAGUAGAAUUUGGACAGCCAUCUGAUCCUUGGUUUGAGAAACAAAAUUUACUAAAAUUCCAAAGGUAGAAAUGUAGGGUGAGAUGAGUCUUAGACAGGUAGAGGAGGUGAAGUUUUCUGGUUAUUGAAAUUUAUGUCUGGAGAAUAUGAUUGUGAAAGAUGCUUGAAAUGGAAAUCAAGACUCUGAAGACUUUUGGUGAACUCUUCGAAUUUGUUUUUAAAACUUGUUGAUUGUGAGAACCUUUUGGUUUUGGUUUGCUUCAAGUUAAUGAUUUUUUUUUGAUCAUCUUCAAUUUUUUGCUGAUCCUCUUUGGACAAAACUGCUUAGGACUCUCAGUAGGUUUUGCUGAUCAUCAGACAUUAAAAUUUCGUGCAUAAAACUUAGAAGUUCAUCCCAAAAGCAUAGGGAUCCUAUUCUUUAAUUAGGUCGAAGGUUUUUUCACCUUCUGAGCUUGUCAGCAGCAAACCUACUAGCCUUCAGCUAGUUGCUAGUGUUUCAAUUAAAUGAGCAAAUCAGUCCGCCUUAUUCGAGUGUGGAUGUUUUAAUUUAGAGCAUCCCCAUAUAUUAUACGGCAAAAUCCUUGUGGAGGCUUGCGGAUGUGUUGAUUCCCAUCAUCCCAUGGUUGUCGAGCUUUACACCUUGUUGUUGGGCCCGAUUUAUGUAGCUAAUAAAAUUAGUAGUUUAAAAAUAAAAUGAGUUUUUCAUGUGCAACAUAUGUUAUGUUUAUACUUUAACAAUUAGGAGAGUGGCUAAUUAAUUCUUUUAACUAUUGAUGCUUGUUCAACUUAAUUAAAAUAAGAAGCUCAAGGCCACCUUCCCCCCAAAAUAACCUACCCUAGCAAAGCAAAAGAAAAAGAGGCUGGGGUCAAAGGAGAACUGCUUUUUGUUGGAGUCAGAAGGGGGGAGCGGCCAAGGUAGAUGGGCAAGGAGGCAAUUGAAGGCGGUAGAGGCAUGGGCACAGGUACGGGGGUGGCGAUGAAUGGGGAAGGGAUGUGAGAUGGAGGGCAUAGGUUGGGUGAUAAGGAUGAGGUGGCUCGAAACUCACCUCCACAUCUAAGAUCUCGUUGAGUGGCUAUGAGGAACGAGGGAGUGGAAGUUGGUGGUAUACAUGAUUGAAGACCUGUGGCCAGAGGCUGUGGAUAAUUGUGUUUAGGACAUCUUGUGGAGGGUAUGGGAGGGUGUGGAUGCUUUGUGAGCAGAAGUCCGGCAUUUAUGGGAGUUAUCCUGAAGUUUUAGCCGUUCUGACAGGCUUUUAUCUGAUAAAGAAGAAAUCCUAUGUUCUGUAUUAUUCAAACAGGCCCUUUUUCCGCACUCACUUAAGUGUCAAAGAUUUGUCUUCAUAGUGUGUUUGCCUGUUAUUAAGGAGAAAUAAGGAAGAUUAGAUCUCCCUCUAAUAAGUCAAAAUACCUUCCACAGUGCAAGCAAGGAAAUAUAAACAUUUUCAUCAUCCGGAUUUAGAUCUCAAGUUUCUUACUGGUCAAAGUUUGGACACUAGUGGUUAUAUUGCUCAUUUUUAUCUUUACAGCAGAUGGACUGAACUGCUGCAGGUAUUAACAUUUUGCAUAUGAUAUUAUUUGCAUUCCACAUCUAUUAAUCUUUGGCAGUUGAGAACAAUAAAGGGAACCUUGAGUAAAUUUCUGCACACAUGAACCUCAGUAGCUAGACUUCUAAUUAGGAUGGCAUCUUUGUUUCAGACCUGCUUCCACAUACCUGCAUCUGCUCCCGCUACCAGCAACUAAGACAUGAAUCCUGAAGAGCUGACUUGAGUAUUUUCAGUGUGUGCUGUGCUAUCAUCAGUAUUUUGGAAACAUUUUGAGGAAAGAGAGGGAAGCCAUAUUUUUUUGUAAUUGAAAACAUUUAAAAGAAAUUGCUCAACUACAUUUUCGUACAUAACCCUACACAUGCUGACAUAAGCAAUCGCACUGUCUGUUGUAUCACCACUUCUAGUCAGGGGACAUAUUGAGAAUAGAGGGAAAAAUGUUUGCAGCUUUAUGUUUGAAUCGAAAUUUUAUUUUUGUACCUUUGGUGGUGGGAAUCUGCAGAUAUAGUGAACGUUCAAUUAUGUUAAAGGGUGAGGUGGCCCAUAUGCAAAUUCUAAACAUUUGGGAAAUGUUUGUGGUAACUGAACAUUUGAAGUCACUUGGAAAUGGCUUGUAGGCUCAAUUAAGCUUGAAUGAGAUGUGAACAAGCCAAGCUUGAUCUAAGCUUUUAAGCUUGGAAUAAAUUUCAGCCAAGCUUGAUCUCCACUUGAUUAGGCAUCGCUUGAUAAGGCUAUAAAAUUUAUAUUUAAGUGUUAUUUUACAGUAUAUGUGUAACAAUAUGUAUUUUAUAUAUAGAAAUUUCAAUGCAUAUUAUUAGUCAGCAACUGAAAUCAAUGCUGAAAUUAGUAUCUAUCUUAUUUAAACAAUUUGAUGGCUUCAUUAUAUUAUUAAUUUUUAUUCAUGGCCUGAUGGGUUCAAUAGUUAUAGGGUUUGAUAGCUUUCUGGUUUGCUGGAUCGUGUGUUUUAUUUGUCUAAACAAGACUUUGAAUUCGAAGCUCAAACAGAGCUUGAAUUGAGCUCAGUUCAAACUUGAUCUGACUCUGGUUUGAUUUAAGGCUAUUAAUUGAUUCAAAAUAGGUUUAUUUUCAGUUUGCCUUGACAUCAGGCUUUACCAAAUUGGAAGCAAGCACGUUUGGUCCUGAGUUUCAUGCUUGAAAUAAAUUUCAAGCCAAGCUCGAUCAGGACCAGAAUUGUUCUUGCUCAUCUUGACUACAACCAUGAUCAAGGAUAAGUACAUCGAAUGCCUAUUGUCUACCUUCUGUUGGUGACUGUUCUUUGAUUUCUGGACCUUAACGAUGUCAAGUUCUAUCUAGGUAUUUUAUAAAUUUAAGUGCCAUAUGAUUGUCCUGUUAUUUGUUUCUAGGUAGCUAAAAUAUAGCGCAAAGGAAUAUUCUGUGGACUUAUUAUGUUUAUAUGAGUACAUUUAUUUGAUAUUGAGUUUCUUUGAAAAAAGUGUGAUAUUAAUCUUCAUUUUUUUUUAACUUUUGCAGCUGAGAAAUCUGGUCUGGGCUACAUCAAAGCAUGAUGUCUAUCUAAUGUCACACUAUUCUGUGCUCCAUUGGUCAGCAUUAACUUGUGACAAAUUUGAGGUUAUGGAUGUUUCGGGACAUGUGGCACCAUGUGAGGUGCAUAUUCUUCCUUUAUAGAUUUGCCAUCUUCUUCUCUUUUUGAUUUAAAAUUGUGUGUUCUGUAAUAAUCAUUUUAUUAGGUGGAUAGUUAUAAUUUUAAGCUUGCAUGAUGCCUUUUUGAUUUCAUUACAGAAACACCCUGGAAGUUUAUUGGAAGGAUUUUCUCGGACUCAAGUUAGUACAUUGGCAGUAAAGGAUAAGUUACUUGUAGUGGGUGGAUUUCAAGGAGAACUUAUUUGUAAAGUAAUUCUCUUUACUUUGUCUGCCAUUGUCUUUUACAAUAAUUCGUAGAAACAAAGGAGACUUGUAUAAUAUCCAUGGCUAUUUUCAUUUUUUGUCUAUUUUUUUGUUGAUUUGUCAAGGUGGUUACUGUUUUUAGUAAAAGACACUUCGUUAUUUCCAGAAAGUAUGUCCAUGACUCCAUGAGAAACUUGCCAAUGAUAAAAACAAUGUAUCAUCGGUUUACCUUUUUCAUCAAUUAUUUUCAUAGGCAUAUCUGUGAGAAAUUUGCCGUGUAUUUCUUAUAGCUGUAGCAGAGUAGGUUAUGAAAUGUAUAGUUGUAUUCUUAGGCAUAUAGUAGUUAGCUUGACGGUGAUAAUGUAUGCUGCAACGAGAAAGAAGCCAAGAAGAAUGGCAAAAUGUAGUAUGAUAGAAAGCUAUCUCAAGGAGAAAGCAUUUAUCCAUGCUGUAGUGAUAUCGAGAAAUGCCGAUUCUUAUUAGGGUGUGGAGGUUAGGGAGUGCAGUGAGGUUUGUGGACCAUGUAUCCAGGCUUUCACGAUCCAUGCUCUGUAAGAGGAGAAGCCUUGAUAAGUAGAGAGGUGACUGUAUGCACUAGAAAAAUGCUUGAACUUCUGUUUUGAAGGAUUACAAAAGAGAAAGAAAAAGUCAUAAACUAUUGUGGAUGAAAACUAUGAGAAGGGUUUUGGAAGAGUCUGUAGUGUUUCUAGAGCUAGCCUAAUAAAAAUACUUGGUAAGGAUUCAGAAAGUCAACUCCAAAUAGGUGAGAUCAUACAAUGAUAUUUGAAGUUAUGAUUUUGGAUGUCAAGAGCCAUGGCGGUAGACUGUCUGAUUGCCCCAAAAGUGGGUAGUUACAAUGCUUAUAAUAGAGUAAGCUGAGAAUCACCAUUAUUCUCGUGGUACUUAUUUGGAUUAUCAGGUUUUCUGGUAUUAUAAUGGCUUAUUCUUUGCAUAAAAAUGGAUCUUCCUUGGGCUCUCCAUAUUAAAAGUGCUGAGGUAAGGAGAAUCUUUACGUUUAUUUGCAUUUGCUGGUUUCAAGUGUUUGUUUCAGCAUUAUUAAAUGCAUAAACAAAAGAAAAGAAAAUCCAUGGAGUUCAUAUUGGGGAAAACUACCUCUGUCCUUUUUUCUUGCAUUAUGAUUUUGAUCAAUAAAGAUAAUAUGUAGAAUUGACUAAUGUUAAGAAUUUUUUAUAACACAACCAAAAAAUUUUGUAAUUGCAUUAAGGCUGAAAAGGACUUAGUUCACACAGGGUUGGUGGAGCAUUAUGGGGCUUUCACUAUCGGGAGCAGGUACUGUUGUCUGCAGCCUUUGAACUCAUUUUGGAGAAUGAUGAAAGGGAACUUGAAGGUAGGAGAAGCAAGCAUUAUUGUUGACUAGUGCAGACUAUUUAAAGCAGUUAUUAGGUGAUAUGUGCGUUUUAUUUAUGUGCUCUUAUGUAACUCAUAGUUAGCUACAUUGAGAGGUGGUAAAUUCUUGUGGAUGAAAGGAUGGAAUGACAAGACUGUACGUGGUACGUUGGGAGCAGCUUAACAAGCCUGAUAAUCAAUCAGCUGAUUUGCUCAGCAAAUACUUCAAGCGCAUAAAAUGGAUGAACAUCUGGGCAGACAGAACGAUGAAUAAGAUCUAGAAUUUAUGGGAACAGAACAAUUGAUAAGGCAAGAAGUAUGACUUAAAAGAGGCCAUUGCCUCUAGCUGUAUGUGAGCAAUAUAGAUUUUCACAACCACUAUGCUAUCCUGGUGCUUGUAUUCACCUUUCUGAAAGGAUGAAAGUUACAUUUGUUUGCUAUAAACUAAAACAUUCUUUUGUUUGUUCUUUUUUGGCAUCUAUUAUUUUCUAUAUAUGUUUUGUGUUAGGAAAAUUAAUUCUUCCUUUAAAUCUUAUCUUUUAGUUAUAGGGCAUUAUUAUCUAUUGCAAAUGUGCUUCACAACAUCAUAGGCCAAUCAAUUAAAAGUUUUAGACAAUAAUGAAAUAUCAUUGUUUUAUGCACAUACGAUUUGUCAAAGGAUUUUAUAUCAUUACCUUUUCUGGCUCCUUGCCAAAAAGUCAUAAUUCCUUAAUUUCUGGUAUUGCCUGUCAUUUAAAAAGCUACAAAUUUAUUUCCAAUUGUAUGUGAUGGAUCAAGUCUUUUUUAGGAUUUAAUUAGUCAUCUCAAUCAGGUGAAACAUUUGUAUUUUAGACAUGAAACUUAUGGUGUUAGUAGUUAUAGAUGCAUUAAAUGCUAUUGCAGUGGAAUGUAUAUAUAAGUAACCUGGCUGUACAGUUCUUGUGACAUUGAAUGUAUAUUUAUUCCAGCAUUUUCAAUGGUACAUUUUAUCUGAUUUAUCCCAAUAUUUUAGAAGGUAAAUAUUAUCUGAUUUUUUUUUCUUACUUUGAUGGGAAAUGUAGUAUUUAGAUCGAGAAGGAAUAAGCUUUUGUUGCCGGACAACUUACGAUGACAAUGCAAUCACUAAUGCUGUGGAGAUUUACGACAGUCCCAGGUACUUGAUUUUGCCUGGCAUUUUCUUUUUUUUUGAUCAUUUCAGUGGCUGGUCUGGCUUGAAAAUGAAAUUUAUUCAGUGGUGCUGUUCACUUCAUGGCUUCAAAUAAUGACUGUGGAGUUCGUGACUUCAACAUGGAGAACUUUCAGCUUUGCAAGCAUUUCCGAUUCCAAUGGCCGGUUAAUGUAAGCCAUCAGUAUUUGAUUACGUGUAUUGGAUUGUUGGUUGGUUAGAUGUUAUUUCUUUUUCUAGUGGGAUGUGAAUGUAAGGCAUCUGUAAUUGAUUCAUUGUAGUGUCUAGUUGGUUAAAUUAUCAAUGCUGGUGAGAGAGCCAUAUAAUGUUUUGGUUUCUUGGAAAUUUGUCUGCCAAUAUUUGUUGUAAACAAAUUCAAUCUGUCGAGCUUUCUUGGGGUUAGUAGAAUCAGAUUAUAAAACUCUAGGUAACCGCUGAGAAGUGAAAACACUGUUCUAGCUAUGAUGCUGCUAUGGCUACAACAUUCAUGAGAUCUAGUCGGGUCUUGCUCUCUAUGGGUACUUGGAGUUUUUUGUAAUUUAAUAAUAUUUAUAUCAGGCACUAUAUUCUUGCAUCAUUGUUUCUUUACCUGUUAUUCUGUUUGCAGCAUGCAUCACUUAGCCCUGAUGGAAAGCUUCUUGUUAUUGUGGGAGACAACCCUAAGGGACUACUUGUUGAUGCUUGUACGGGAAAGGUGGGUAACAUAUUUGGUUGUUCUGAUCAAGUGAUGAACCACAAUGGAGUAACCUGCUUUCAUCAUUUCCAAUUUGAAAAGUUGAGCAAUAAAAAUUAAGUUUUUGUAGUUUGGUUCUUGCAGACUAUCCAUGCACUGCAUGGCCACCUGGACUACUCAUUUGCAUCGGCAUGGAAUCCUGACGGUUGUACAUUCGCCACUGGUAACCAGGAUAAGACCUGUCGGGUUUGGGAUGUAAGGAACCUCUCCAAAUCCAUGGCUGUACUGAGAGGCAACCUUGGAGCCAUAAGGUCAAUCCGCUUCACAUCCGAUGGUCAGUUCAUGGCGAUGGCAGAACCAGCGGACUUUGUUCACAUAUUUGAUGUCAGAAGUGGGUACAACAGGCAACAGGAGCUGGACUUCUUUGGUGAAAUCUCAGGCAUGUCGUUCAGUCCUGACACCGAGGCUCUUUUUGUUGGUGUAUGGGAUCGCAACUAUGGCAGUCUCCUUCAGUACAGCCGCCUCCGGGGCUACUCAUACCUUGAUUCACUACUUUGAAUUAGAACUAGUUUCCAUGCUGUACCUCUUGAGUCUGUUGGUAUCUGUGCUCGGUGCAGGAUGUUGUACAUGGACGUGGCAGGGGGAUGGAGAUUAAGAUUAAAGGGGAACCUGGAAGUCUCUCAUGUUUAAUUGUAAUGAACACUUUCGAUCAAAAAAAAAAAAAUCUAAUGAAAACCGGACUCUUUUGAAGUGUACAAAGAAGAAAGAAAUAUACAGUUGCCCAGUGACUGCACUUGUGAAGAAAAUUUUGAGUUUAGCUCAAUGUGCCAGACUCUCAGCUGUCUUUCAGAAGAUUUUAGAGUGAUUCUGAUGUAAUCUUCAUUCAAUGUUCAUUAUUUUGUCCCUCUAUUUAGACUUGGGUGAAAUUUCACACUGCAUGUGUUGGCUCAUGCAUUGCAAAACAAUAUGAUAUUUCUGGUAGUCGGUUCUUAAACGUGUUCUGUUUGGAUUGUCACCACUAGCUGCUAUGAUCUGGAUCUAGCUCGUAGCUCUACUUUAGAGCAUUUGAAAAGUUAUUUUUGGGCUUUCUGGGUAAAAAUUUCUUUCAUGAAGCAAGAUUCUUGAAUAUUUGUAAUUCUUGUUACUCAAUGCAAAAUUUUGUAAAGAAGAUAACUGAUCUUUGUGAAUAAUUUUGGGUAUAUUUGUUCUGUUACUCCUAUGAGAUCUAUAAUGUUAUUAUUUCAUUUCUUGUCAAUGUUCUCAUUCUAUAUAUUUGUGGUAAUUUGCUGAUUUUGAUCUGAUGUUAAUAUUUAUUGUCACAUGUAAACUAUUAAAUGUCACCAUCAAUUUUCGCAAUGUUUCUGCUUUAACAAUAUUUUAUUUUGUUUUGUAUUUGGAAGCUAUUUAAAAAGAAUCAUACUAUUCCAAAGAUUUUCAGAGGGAUUUCAAGUCAGCAAGGGGAUUCUAUUGGGUUAUCAUGCUUCUCUUCAAGGUGUCCUAUAUCUCUUUGAAGAAAUUAAUAAAUUCUAUCGAGGAAAAUUGAAGUGUUCUAUAUCAAGUUUACAGCUCACUAAUCGAAGUUUUCUAUUGAUUUCAUUUAAUUGUAACUUAUGAGACUGCCGGUUUGUGAUGUUUACCACCUAAAGCCAUAUAUGAAGUUAUGCUCAAGACAUCAUUCUCUAUGAAACUUUACAAGCCAGGAAUUACUCCACUUGGACUAUAGGAAUGAAAUCAGGGGAGCAAGGUUUUGUGUACGAGAUCUAUAAUGGAAAAUUGUUCAUUUCGAAGGCAGGAUGCUUUUAUGCAGGGGGUGUGAAGCACAAACUCUCCUCUUGGAAUCAAAUAUAGAUGCCACUAGCCACCAAGUGGCUUGAUGAUUUCUAGGGAACAUGGAGGUGCACAGCUCAUCUAAGAACACUAAUUUGAUCCAAUAUAGAAGCGAGUUAAUAAAAGCAUAUAUAUAUAUAUAUUUCACUAUAUCAUGAUAUGGUAUUUUGAAUUUUGAAUUAAGUCUUUACUUGCCAAAUUUUGUACCUAAUCUGUCAUCAGCUUUUUGUUUUUCUUUUCUUUUCUUUUCAUUUUGAUGAAAGGAGCUGUUGCUGUGUGAAAUUUGACAAAAGCACUGUUCCAUAGGAGAUUAGAAAGCUGAAUCUGUUUUCCUCUUCAACUCGCACCUCUUCUUCCUCCCAUCUCCAUCCUACCAUUUUCCAAAUCUCAUGCUCCGGCAUAUCAUUCGCAGGGCUAAAGUCGUGAACAUGAUUUAGAAUACGCGUCUAAGAAGCUUUUUUCUUCAUAAAUAACCGAUAUCUAAAUAGCACUUGUUAUUUUGCGAGAACUACCAAAAUCAUUAUUAUUUGUCAUUUGACGAUCGCACGGUUAAUUAACUUAAAAAAAUAAAUUUAAAACUCAGAUAUCUAUAACAGCUCGAUACAUAUAUCUACACUUAUAUGGCUGUUAACAUGAUGAAUCACAACUGUUAUUUUGCUAACUAUUAUCCUAGGUUUCCCAUUGUGACUAUUAAUAAUUCUUAUCAAGGUUUGCAAAACCGACCCGAAUCUCCUGUUUUGGGGUAUAUGGAACUGAGUUGGUGCGAAACCGGAUUGUUUAUUGGUUGGGUUCAGGCCUCAGCUCAAACUGAUUCAAACUAUGUGGAACCAUCUAGUUUCGUCGAUAUAACUUAAUUCAAGAUGGCUCUAGACGCUUAUGUAAGUAAAAAUGGAGGAGAAGACAUCCUGAUGUUAGAUGUUUUCUCCUCUCUUUUCUACUGAGCAUGUGAAGAGAAGGGUGGAAGUUAAGAAAAAUCAGGGGAGUAAGGACUUUUAUGAUUUUGAGUCAAUCGAAGAUAACAUCAAGUAUAAUCUUCUUCCUCGGUUUCAUUGUUCUUUUCUUGUUUUUAUGCUUAAAAUAAACCAAAAAUGUUAAAAUAAGAAGAAAUCAAAUAAAAAGUCCAUAUUUUAGCACCAUUUCAUGAUAUACUAUAUUUUGACCUCGAUUAUAAACAAUAUCUUGAUAUUUUUGAGUGGCAUAGACACUCCAUAAGGGUCUAGAUUUUGCUAUAGUACCAUACCAAUGCACUUCUGCGUACUGAGUAGUGGUAUAGCAUGGUAUGGGACCAUAUUGUACCAACAUAGCUUUUGAACAUACAAUACCCAGUCCUGAGAUUAGGAACCUUAGUUGUUAUAACAAUUAGUUAAUUCUUGUUCUUGAAAAAAAAAAAUCAAAGACUUACCAAGCAACAACUGCCACUUCCAUUGAAGUGAAGAUGGCGAAAUGUUGAAGGAAAUCAAAGCUUAGAGAUCAAAACAUGGUUAUCUAACCUUAUUUGAAAGAUCAAAGCUCAGCCGGUGCAUGCUAUGUAUCUAUUGCAUUCCAUGCUCAAAAAUAUAUUGCAUGGAGUAUUUCAUUCUGGAUGUUGAUCAAAUGCUAUCAUAAUCAAAAGCUUAGAUACUACAGAUCCACUCAUCAAACAACUCAUUCACGGUUAGAACGACCAAUCAGUUCACAAAAGUGGGUAAGGAAAAGAAAUUAAAGAAAUUAAAAAAGAGAGGAAAAAUAAAAAUUAAUACCCGUUAAAGAUCGGGGUAUUGAACCCGACGUGAAUCGAACACGCAACCUUCUGAUCUGGAGUCAGACGCGCUACCAUUGCGCCACGGAUCCAGUGUUCUUACAUUUGAAAAACAUUCUUAUAUAACAUAAUAAACGACUACGUCAGUUUCACUAGUGAACGUGUCCGGUGCGCUUUGCUUCUAUGGCCACCAAACAUCUUAUCUGUCUCCCCCCCAAUCGCCUGCCCCCAACUCAACUCCCCAAAUCCUCCCCUCCGCUCCCCUCCCAUAAACUCUCCUCACCACAAAAUCUCCUUCUACUCCCAUCACUACUAGUAAUCCUGAAAUCUUUCAUAGCGUCCGCAACCUCUCCAUCUUAUCCCCUCCAUCCCAAUUUUCAACCUCUCUCACACCCCAACCCCCAGACAACAGUCUCAAGUCUCAGCCAUGGCCUCCACUCUCUUCUCCACACCCACCUUCAACGGCCUCCGCCCUCUCAAGCCCACCGACUCCUCCCUCUCCUUCCCCAAAAAAGCCAGCCUCGCCCUCCCCGCCCGGCCGGUCCGGCCCAGCGCCAAACCGGGUCUGGUAGUCAAGGCCGAGCUGAACCCGUCCCUGGUGAUCAGCCUCAGCACCGGCCUGUCCCUGUUUCUCGGCCGGUUCGUCUUCUUCAACUUCCAGAGGGAGAACGUGGCCAAACAGGGGCUCCCGGAGCAGAACGGGAAGACCCACUUCGAGGCCGGAGACACCCGGGCCAAGGAGUUCGAGGCUCUUCUCAAGUCCAACGACCCGGUCGGGUUCAACAUCGUCGACGUCCUUGCAUGGGGUUCCAUCGGCCACAUAGUGGCUUACUACAUCCUCGCCACCUCCAGCAACGGCUACGAUCCCAAGUUCUUCUGAGUUGGAAUUCGCUGGGGGUUUUGGACACGGUUAUCGUUGUACAUUAAUUUUGACGGUUUGAUGGUUUUUAUCAUGGAAUGUUUGGGCUGGGUGUUGUGGGGUUGUGAUGAUGGGUGGGGGAUCAAUUGUAUUAUUUGUACGCCGAAGGUGGCUUCUUAUCAAUCAAAUAUGCUUUGCUCUCAAAACUUAAAUUUGCUUGGUUUUUUUUUCUUUGUUUUCUUACGUAGUUUUCAUUUUGAGCUCGCCAUAUGUUUCCUUUUGAUGUGCGACACUAGCUCUUAUCCAUUUAAACAAAUAAAAAGCAAUGAUUAUAAAAUAUAAAUGCAUACAUAUGUAUAUGUAUUGUUAUAAAUAUAUUUUUUAUGAAAUAUAUCUGAGGUAGUUUUGGUCUUACAUGAAGUGUUCUUUGGAUAUCCUUGAAAUACGAAAUAGGUUACUCGUGGAUAUUUAAAAAUUUUUAAUAACCAAAAAUUAGUAUACCACAAACAGUGAGGAUCAAAUUAUCUCGAGAUAAAGAUCAUCGGUGACCUAAGAUCAUCAUUUUAUAGUGGUUCUAUUUGGAUCACCAAAAGCCACCUUCAAUGUCAUCUACCGACUAGCAUCAAUCAGGCAUGCUUGUGUGAAUAAUUUUUUUUUCUUUUUCCCUUCUCUCUUUGGGAAUGUUAGGGUAAAAAGAAUGAGACUAACUCCAGAAUUUCGUCCAUUUUUAUUACAACUAAGCUUCUAUUACCUGUCUUUUCCUUUCCCCAUUUUUUUUUCCGCCUAAGACAUGGACACUAGAGCAGGAGGUAGAGACGAAGUUGGCAUGGAGGAUACGCUUGAAAAGUGAGUGACAGAUGCUGGGUUUGAAUACAGAACUUGUUUGAAUAGAACCAAUCGAACACAGGAUACCAGACAAGAGGGUUCUUAUCUGUAUUCCAUUCUCAACAAAUAGGUGCUUCUCAUUGAUGGAGCUCAAGGUCAGUGUAAGUACAGGAAGUCGGCAAGUUAUCCCUGCUCGGCCACAUUCUAGAUGUCCGUAGUGUGAAUGCAGCAUCCUGUCAGAUAAGCUGAGUAGAAUAAUAGUUGGAUAGUAGCAGGUCAGCUGGAGAAGAAUAUAUGACCUCCUCGUAGGUGCUGUCAAAGGAGUCUUCCGAUUAGAUGUCUGAACACACGUGUGUCAGUAUAAAAUAACUAUGUUCCAUCACCAUGAAUCAUGAGUACUUUACUUCCUUUCAACUUUUUUUUUUCUUCUUUAAAGCUACAGUAGUUAGGACCGGUGGUCAAUUACAAAUGCUCGUUUCCACGAGCCAAUCAUCAAGAUGAGCACUCGAUAAAUAAUGCCUACAAAAAUAGGUGUUUGUAAUUGGCAUGGUGCACCACAUACACAUCAUGUAGAAUAUAAUUUUUUCUGGGUGCCAGGUGUUGUAUUACUUUUCGCGUUGCAACUUUUCUUCUAUAGAAUUAAACCAAGGAUAAGCAUCAAGUAACUGUUGUCUUGAUUGAAAAAGCAAUUAUCGGCUAACAAACCUAACCCACCUCAGUUGACUAGACAAGCCACAAAAUUAGAUGCAUAAUUAGGUAUCCAAUAUAUGGCAAAAUAUGGUACAGGAUAUGAGGUGCAUGUUUCAAUUAUCAUGAACCAGAUAAAAUUUUAUAAAUGAGACAGAAUUCAAUGAACAAAUACACAUCACCAAUACAAGUGCAUAUGUGUUUGUUUAACAAAAGAGUGUAAUACGCCUGAAUAGUUAUCUGUAUACAAAUGCAUAUAUAUUCUUAUUAAAGUAUAUGCACAUAUCUAUGCGCAUACAUAAUAACUUGUAUAUAUAGGUGAAUGUAUACAUCAUGUAUAUAUGUAUUAUAUGUCUGUUGAUGUAUAUAAAUAUCCAUCACCGAAAUAAAGUAUAUUAAGUAUCUAAAUAUAUACAUGAAUGUAUAAAUAUGUUUAAAAAUAAUGCUAUUUUUUCUGCAGUUGAAAUCUUAAUUUAUUAAAAUAUGUUUGAACAACAAAAAAAGUCUUAGAUGAUCUAAAACUGCUAUAGAAUGUACAUUUAUUAUAUAAAACAUAUAGAUACGUUGAUAGCAAUUCUUUUUUUUCUUUUUUUUUUUUUUUUGCUUAGAAGAAGAAAGAGGGGGUGAGGAGAACCUCACCCGUAUAGCAAUCCUCACUGGCCCCUUCCUCGCUGGAGAGUAUUUGAUGCGGAUAAAACAUUUUUUACUCAUACUUUUUUCAUCCGUGGCAGAGCCCCACUAGCAUGGCAGCUCUAUCCAGUAUGAUAGCAAUUCUUUUCAAUUUUUUUUUUGAUUAAUUGAUUUAUAGCUCAAAUUUCGGAUAAGCUGUUCAGUGCAAAAGGUUUCACAAACCAAAACCUUGUACGUGGGCCCACUGAAAUUUUCGUGCCUAACCGGAUGUGAAAGCUCCGAGCUCCCACCGCCCCUCUCUUAUCUCGGACGGCAUGUCAUUAGAGGACGCAAGGCACGAAACUACGAAGACCAGGACUCAUUUCGGUCAAGGAGAGAACCCGGUCUGGGUUGUAACCAGAAGCUUCGAGAAGCGGCCGAGCGGGGGCUGGCUCAAACACAGCAUACAAAGCCAGUAAAGCAUCGCCACGUGGAUAGUCUCCGCUAUUAGAUCGUUAUAUAAUAAACGGACCAUCAAUCGCCGUUAUGGGCUACCGGGUGAACCGGGGACGCCGCCAUGGGUCCGAUCACCACGCCGGGGCGGUGACCGGAUCAUUGGCCCCCUAUAAAUGCCCAACGGCCGGACCAACCCUCUUCGGACAAAGCACCUAUUUUCCCCUCACCAAGUUAUCGUUUCCUUCUCCUCUCUCUCUCUCUCUNNNNNNNNNNNNNNNNNNNNUUCUUCUCUCUCUCUCUCUCUCUCUCUCUCUCUCUCUCCCCAGUCCGGGAGAUCAAGGCCUCGCUCCAAGACUCUAUCGGGUUCGUCUCAUCUUUAAGUAAUUCUCAUCUUCUUUUAUCUCCGAUUUGAGCGGUAGUUUUCGUGAUCUGGAUCGGGUUUUGAUUCCAGAUGUCUCGCGCUUCGCGUUUUAUUUACUUCAGACCUUGUUCUGCUUAAAUCUAUAUGUUUGUUGUGGCUAUGUUAGAUUCGGCGAUAAUUUAAGUCAAUCCAUGCCAAUAGAUUUUUAUUUUGGUGAUAUAUUAUUGUGAGUGUUGAAUAUAGGCAUUUAGAAUUCUAUUCCCUGUUCCUUCUUUGUUAGUAUUGGUCUGAUGUUAUUAGAAAGGUCUAUUCAAGCUCGAUCAAGUUUUGGUUAUCAGUUGGAGUUCUUAAUAGCAUAUUUGGAUGCUGUGUGCUUUUGAUUGUGCUAAGCUCUUCAGAAUUUUGGAUUCAGGAUGGACUUUUCUUUGGACUAAUUUAUCUUUUGAUUGGGUUUGCUUUUGAUUCCUAUUAUUAUAUUUUGUUUGUUCUUCUGAAACUUCUGCCACUCUUAUUCUUUCUAAACUUUAAAUCCUUAAAACAUUUGAUCUAAGGAUAGCCAGCUUUAAAUUAUCCUGUGAGGGAUUGGUCGUUCCCUGCGUUUUUUGUUUUUCAAUUAGCUAUAGUAUUUUGAGCCCUUAAAAAUUAGUUUCCAGUUUGAACUAACUUAGGGGCUUUAGGUUCUGUAAAAGACCUGACCAAGGUGUAAGACCACUCUGGAGUCUGGAGCAAGUCUUCUUUUUUCCUCCACUUCUUCUCCUUGAAUGUUCUCUUCUCUUUUCCUCUUUUUUCUGCACUUAGCCAGCAUAAGUCUACUUCAAAUAAGAGUCUCUAAAAGGCAACAGCUCUUUUUAGUUCUUCCUGCAUACAGCCACAACUAUCAGAAUUCGCAGCCACGAGCUUGAAUAAGGGCCUGUUUGGAUAUUCUUACAGAAUUAAGCUGAAAAUUCUGCAGGAUUCGUGAAUUGAGCCGCCUAUUUAAGGGCCUGUUUGGGUGUCCCUACAGAAUUGAAUUGAAAAUCCUGUAGGUUUUGUGGAUUUGGCCAUUUACUUAAGCAUUGCCCUAUAUCAACCAAAUACCACCCAGCCCAAAUCCUAUGGGAAGGGGAAAAAAAGACCUCUAUAGAUCUAUUUUUUUCUUCCUACAGCGACAAAGGUUAGGAUCUAGACUGGAUUUGGAUAGGCACUUGGAAAAUGCAAACUAGAUGGGCCAACAGGCCCGAUUCCAAUUAAAUUUUCAACCCAAUUCUGUAGGAAUAUCCAAAUAGGCUCUAAGUGUUUUAGGGCUGACUUAGCUCAAAUUUUGUUUAACUGGGCUGACUUGGUCUGCUAUUGAAGCAGCCACUUUAGGCCCUUCCCGAUAUCCAAUUCAACCUCUUAAUUGUCCAGAAGCAUAUCCAUCUCAACCCUAAAUGCAGCUCUUUACAGAGACCCCAGCACACUUAUUGUGACCGGUCUGCUAAUAGAUCUAUAAUCAGUAGGCUAGUCUGUUGCAGAUGUCAGUCUGGCUGUUAUUUGACUCCCAAAACUUUCCUCAGUUGUCCUUCAAGCUCGAACCCUUGUUAACUUUUGCAUAAAAUACCUUCAUUAUAAUCAAUAACCCUUCAGUAUCUCCUAAUAUAAAGUGAUAGUUGAGCUCGGGAGGAUCUUAGAAACUGUUUAGGCUUGAGAGGAUCUUCAGAUCAGGUUGCAGUCUGCUAAACCUCCUCUCAUUCUUCUAAUUUCUCAUAUUAUUCUCCUCUUUCUUGUGGUGCCUUUCUGUCUCUCCCUUUCCUUAAUUUAAUUACCCUCUUUCUGAUAGAGCACAACAGUAGUAUUGCUGUUUGUCAGUUCUGAGAAAGAUCUGAGGCUGUUUCAAGCUAGCAGCUGAGAGAAAGGCUCGAAGAUUGGACAUAUAGAGAUCAAACUUCAUCCCUAGCAUUUGUCUGGGUUAUGUCACUAGGGCUACUGUUUGUUGUUGUGUAGUCUUAAGCUUGGGCUUAUCAUAUAGUAUUUCAUGCUUCGAUCUUUAGUUUUUAGACACCAGAAUAUCUCAGUAUUAGAAAUGCCCUAGAAGCCAAUUUUGCUGACGCAUUAUUUUGUUCUAAGAUAUAAAUUUAUGCUUGACCUAAUUAUGAAUUUAUUAAGUUGGGCAUUCUUAUCAUUCAUGUUCUUUUGUGUCCAUGAAUCGUCCAAAGAAUUAAUAAGAUGAUGACACAUAUUCUCAAGAGUUGAGAAUUUGAGGCAUGUGUCAUUGGUGAUUAACUCCUGAAUUGCUCCUGAUCGAUGGAUCAUCGCGAGGACGAUCGAUCCGCUGAGAUUAGUGCAUAGAUCACUUUCUUUGAUGAACGAGUCUUGAGUCCAUAGUGUGGGGACACUGGAGUGAUUAUGCAAGUUCUUAUUAGAGAACAAGAGUGCUGAGCGUAACCAUAGCAAGUAGUUACUUGGAUGUCUAAUCCACUCGUCAGUAACUUACUUGAUGCUGUAGUUGUAUAACUGGUCCUUUGACCUGUGAUGCCUCGGCUAUUCACAGUAAGGUUGCUAUAGUUUGACGAACACACAAUCAUGGACCCUACCAUUUGGAUCCUUGUGGUGCAGAUUGGUUGCAGUAGGUUCAUUGUAGGAGUAAGGUGCAUUUAGAUGGAAUCUAUCGACCUUGAUAGAUUAUGAAAGAUCCUAUAUGAUUUAUAAAACUGAGUUCAUAAAUCCUUGGCCAAAGUAGUUUUUGGAAAAGAGUUUCCAAUCUCGAACUAGAGUCGAAUAAAUUUUACAUAUGACAAAUGAUGAGGUUUGACGAGUUAUCCAUGACCUCCAUCUCGUCGGGAUCCACGAUAGAGGGACUGUAUCAUACACCAACUGCACCUACAGGUUCAUCUAUUCCAUUCUGCUGGGUAGUCACUACAUGCUACUAGGUGUCAUUGGUAGAUUGUGAGACUCAAAAGCAUUCACUUGAUCAGUGAACCAGAAUGAGAGGAGUUAGAAUUGUUCCAACCUAUUGAAAGAAGUUUUAAUGAUAUUGUGAUAGUGAUCACAAUAUAUCGCACUACCAGACAGAAUAAAAUCUAUGGGGUCACACAUAAUAGAGGAUCUGAUCGAUCUGAUGGUUGGAUUAUGAUUUGGAAUCACAAUAGUUGGUAAUUAUCAAUUUGAUUGGUAAUUGGCUUAACCCACUAAGAAUUAGUGAGUUGAAGAAGGAAUUAAUUGUAAUUGGAUUGCAAUUUGAUUGAAUCAAUUAGGCUUAAUUAAUUGGGCUCGAUCUUAUUUGAUAAGGUUCAAGAGUCCUACUUAGAGUAAGACUCCUAGAGUUCUAAUUGGAUUACGACUUUAAAUUAUUAGAGUCCUAUCCGGAGUAGGAUUCCUAAAGUCCUAAUUGGAUUAGGACUAAAAUUAUAUGAGUCCAAUUGGAUUAGGACUCCUAGAGUUCUAAUUAAUUAUUGGUCUAAUAGAUGAAGAUGACUCCUAAUUGGAUUAGAAUUGAAGAGUUCAAUUGAGUCAUGAUCCAAUUGAGUCCUAAUUAGAUUAGGACUCCAAGAGUCAUAAUUGAUUUAAUCUUAUGGAUAAGGAUCUUGAAUCAAAUAGAAAGACUAAUUGGGUCCUAAUUAGAUUAGGAUUCAAUGAACCAAGGGCCACCUAAAUCCUAAUUUGAUUAGGAUUAGAAGGGAGGGGCAAGAACCCCUCCUUUCCCUGGGUACUCUUGGGAUCCGCAUCCCGGUUGUCCGGGACGCGCGUCCCGGGUGUCCGCGAGACCCGGUUGGGGCGUGGCUCCUUCUAAUUUUAAGAAGGACGCCACGCCUAGGGCAUUUAGAUGAAAAGAAAUAAAAAAGGGGCCAGCCACCCUUGGGUCUGGGGCUUUCCUUUUCAUCAUGGCGGCCAUCUCUCCCUCUCUUCCUUCUUCCAUCCGCAAGGGCCAAAGAAAAGGGGCAGCAAGCAAGAUUGGAGUCAUCUUCUUCCUCCUCUUCUUCAGCUGCAUGGAAGAAAACAUAGAGAGGAAGGUGUUCCUCUCUUCCUCCUUCCAAGAAAAAGAGAAAGCGUUUCUCUCUCCUUCUUCCUCCUCUUGAGAGCAAUCAAGAGUUGAUUGCUUAAAGAAGUUCCAACUAUCAAAAGAAAUCUCUGCACGGGAGCUAGCACCCCAGUGAGAUCGUAACCUCGAUCAAUCCUGAUCUUCGUGUGGAUACCCGUAUAGGUCGGACACUUGUACGGUUUCAAGCGAAUCCAAUUUCCACGAUCAUCAGAUAGCGGUGAAGAUCUACCCGCUCAAAGGUAAAAAUUUGAUCUUUAUAUUUUUUAAUUAUAGAUAUGAAAUUAAUCAAAUAAUUUAAUUUUAAUAUUUUCUUAGAUUUCAUAAUCUUCUGAGUUAGAAAAUUUAGAAUUUUUUUGAAAUCUACGUUCCCUAAGACGUUAAUGUGAUGAACGACCCCGCGCGUAUAUUUCUGCUGCAAUCAUCGCAACGCAUAUGGGGGUAACCCAACACUCAGCAGCAGUUUAUCUGCAUGUGCAAUUAGUUUGGUUUAUUUCCUUUGUAUUAAAUUGCUUGAUCAGCCAUAGUGUAUUAUAUAUACAUAUAUAUGAUCGUCAUCAAAUUGGAGAUUAAAUUGGACAGAUAAGGGCAAACAGAAUUGAAUAAUUAGAGGAAUUUGCCGAUUGCCAGUUCAAAUGGGGUUUUCAUGAAUCUUCAUGCUUUUAGGAGUUGUUAACAUAUCCUAAAAUCAUUGACUUAUGCAAGAUUGAAAGGUUUUCUAUUUCAGUGGACAUUAAUAACUAAUUUCACGUUAGGUUACUCUCACAUGUGAGGUCUCUCAUCUUUCUAAGAAGUUCUGAUUACUGCAGGUUAUUGGUGAGGCACUGAGGCUCUACCUCACUCGAAUUAAAAAGAGAAUAUAUGAUAAUUCUGGACACGACAAAUGAAUAUAGGCAUCUAGGAUGUAUUGAAUUGGGUCUAUGAAAUAGCUACUGCUAUAUUAGGACAUUCUGUAUGGUUAGCCGAUGUGUCCACCAUUUGUGGCUGACCACCCUUAAGGUAAGUCUGGUGAAGUUUCCUUGUUUCCAAAUUGCUAAGAUUUUAGCAACCUAUAUUCUAAUUUUGUUCAAUCUUUUUUUCUUUUCUACCUUCCUAUGUUUUUAUUUAGUUAUGUUGAUUCUUCUUAUCUAGAUUUAUCAGGUAAAGGGAAAUUGUUAACCAGUCCAUGAUCUGUAGAGACUGGUUGAUCGCUUGUAUUUACGAAAAGGUUGCUUGGAUUUAUCCAUGGUUUAUUCUUUAUCUUUAAAAUUUGAUUUCUUUAUUCAUUUCAGAUCUGACCGAAAUAGGCUGCUCGAACAUCANNN